UAGGGCAUUAGUUGGAGAUGUGAAGGAGCAGGUUAUGGCAUCAUUUAGAAAUGUGAAGGAGCUUAUGGCCGCUGGAAUCCGCAUCAAGCCUAGUCCUACACAUCAUUUGAGGGACAUUUCUUUCACUUCCAAUUGCGUCACUGCAUGCCUCAGACUUCCUCCGAUCACCAUUGAUAAGUCAACCAAGACAUUGUUCUUCAACUUGAUAGCCUAUGAAAUGAGCUCAGACGUUGACCAUCACUUCAUCUCUUACCUUCGCUUCCUUGAUUCCCUCAUUGAUCAUGCUGAUGACGUUAAGGAGCUGCAGUCCGCCGGGGUACUCCAAAACAAUCUAGGCACUCAUGAAGAAGUGGCUGAAUUUUUCAACACUGUGUCCGCCGACUUGGAAUCAAACUUUCUUGCUUACAAAGAUGUGAGAGUCAAGAUUCGGAACCACCUUAAAAGUCACUAUAACAGCAGACUGAAAAUGUGGAUGACACAAUGCCUGGACACCUACUUCGGUAGCCCCUGGACUAUCAUAGCUUGGGUUGGUGCUGCUUUGGCCCUUUUCUUUACUGCCGUCCAGACUUACCUCUCAGUCUUCCCUCAUUGAUGCAUGCAUGCCCUGUUUUCUCGCUAUCUAUUGAGUGCUUCUGCAUUUUACCUAGCCCAAAUUCAUGGCCUCCAUAUAACCCUUUGAUGGUUGCAAAGUAAAUUAGGCAAAGAGUCAUUGGUCUCGUUUCUUUUCCUUUUUCAGCGUAUUUUCUAUCUUCCUUUCCGUGUGUAAAACAAGUAAAAAAGGAAUGUGUGCUGUGAUCUUAUUUUAGUGUAUUUUGUGCCUAUGUAUGCAUCAGUAAUAUUAUGUUUUAUUUAAGUAACUAAAAAUAGAUAUGGGUGGACUAUUUUUCUAUUUUUGGAUCCCUGUUAAUGUAUUAUGUUAGGUUGGCAAUUUUAUUCAUUGAUGUUUUAGUCGGAUACAACUUAUUUCCUCAAAUCUUAAUGGUUGUGACCGAGUUCAUCAGUUCGAUACGAGGUAAGUGUUUGAAGAAGUAGAUACAGCAAUGAAAACUUAAAAUAUGAAAAACAAAAACAAAAAAGCAAAAGCAAAACAAAGUGAAAGUGGAGAAAAACCUGGCUGGAAUGUACGAAAUUCAACAGAUGCAAGUGUCAUUUAUUCAUUUUUAUUUGAGAAAAAAUAAAAUAUUAAAAAUAUUCUUAGAAAUCUAUUUAUCAAUUUUUUAUUAUAAUUUUUUUCUUGGAUUUCGUACAAAAUAUAUCAAAAGAAUUGAUAUUAGCUUCCAUGAACUUAUCUCAAAUACCAUUUUUGUGGCGAAGAAGCUUCCAACAAGUGGAUCUUUUCUGAAGAAAAUAAAGGGAAGAAGCCGUGGAAUAGAAUAACGGGGAAUGGUAUUUAUGUUAUAUUGAAGGCAAUUAAUGGAUGGAUGUAUUGAUAUGAUUUUUAUCUUCUUGGUUGAUUGUGUAAAUAGAAUGAUUGUCUAGAGAAUUUAUUAGGUGGAAGUAAAUAUGAAUUCUCUUCAUCUCAAAGGGAGUAGUAUUUUUUGGUGAAAAAGAGUUUAGUAAUUUAAUCAUUUUACAAAAAAAACAUUUUAUUUUUCUUUUUUAUUUUUAAGAUGAUAUUAGAAAGUUUGAAUGUAAUGUUUUACAUUGGAUAUAUGAGAAAAUUGGGUAUCAAUCCCUUACUCCGGUAUGGGAGUUUGUUUGGUUCUAUAAAGGGUAUUUAUUUGUUUCGUCCAACAAUCUCAUAGGAUACAACAAAGACAUUAUAUUUAUAUGAGGAAUGUUUGUAAUGUUUCACAAUGAAUAAAAGAGAAAGUUCCUAAGAUUAUAUAUGUAUGAGUUUCUUUUAAUUUUGUAAACGUGUUUUAGAGUCUUAAAUGUCUUAUUGGACACAGAGCAAAUAAUAUUUAUAUGGUUAGAUACAAGUCAUCACAAAUGGUUUAAAAGCUAAUCAUUUUUCUUGGUGUGGGAGUUUGUUUAGUCCUAUGAAGCAUUUUUGUCUAUUUGACCAUAUAAUCUCAUGAGACAUGUGGUUAUGUCCCAUAAACAAAAAUUUGAAGUGAAAGAAAUGAUCUCUUGAAAAAUAUUUAAGACACUUUAAAUAUAUAUAUAUGACAAUCUCGUUGUAAUCAAAAGUCAAUUUCAAACCAAGACAAAAUUUGUCGAUUUGUUCAUGGUUUAAGAUAAAGGUAUGAAUUUUUUUUUUCACCUACUAUACUUUUCUAGCCAAUUUAUAGUAGCUUUUCAAAGACAUAAGCAAUCACUCACUACCAAAAAAAAAAAAAAAAGAAAAUGUUCUUAAAGCAUGCAUAAUUUUUUAUUUGGACGACAUUGUAAUGAUCAAAAUGGUUGAGAAAACAAAAUUUUCAAUUUGAUGGGAAGGGGUUUCAUCCUUUUUAUGUGUUACAAUUCUUAAAAAAUAAAAAAUAAAAAAUACUUUCGUGUUUUUAUGAAGUCCUUGUCAAAGGAUGUCUUUAUCAUGUUUUAAGACAAGUUGGGACUAUAGACAGUUAUUGGCAUUGGCCAAAUAACCAAGAAUUCUUGAUACUUGUCCCAUACAAGUAUAGUUUUCUAAGUUGGGUUGAUUUUUGUAAACCACAACUCUUCAACCCAGUAAAUGGCGUUAAAUAUAAUGUUUGGAGGUUGGUCAUCUUAUGAAGACCCAAAUCACCACCAAAGCAACUCUCCAUUUUCGGUUGGCUUAAGAUCUUACUGUCAGGAAUGUAUAGAUGUUUCAAUUGGUACAACUUCCAAAUUGAACAUGGAAUCACGGAAGAACUAUGGCGUACCUCUAGAAUCUAUAGGUUAAAGAGUUUGCCUAUAGACCAUGAAAAACUUUUAGUAGAACGUGCACUCUCGACAGAAAAAUAUUUGUAGAUCUUUUCUGACUUCAAGUAGUGUUAGGUCUAACACUGUUAGCAAUUUUGUUCUUAAGCAAGGUAUCAAAUUUACUUGAGAAAGAUCAAUAGAACAAAUCAAAGAUCGGAGGAGGCGGCAGGUAUGCAAAUGUUUGAGAAAUAUUUUUUAAGUCAUGAGCAAUAAGUCGACGAGGGUUAAAAGGGCAUGCAAGGAUGAUGUUUCGGUGUACCUCAAAUUUUUUUGAAUCUUUGGCUUUUGAAAUAGCAAGGUCGCGAAGGAGAUCAUGGAUACGACAAGACUUUACUCUUCCAUCCCAUUUUCUUCUGGCCACCUGAAUCAUGCUUCUAUGAAUCAACUCUUCUAAAUAAUCCUCAGCAACGUCUUCCACCAUUUCUUCACCCCUUUGUACAAAUCCCUCCGUAAUCCACAUUUGGAGCAAUUUGUUUGCCUUAAUUUCACAAUCUUCCGGAAAAAUACCACAAUAGAGAAAACAAGACCUCAAGAAAUAAGGCAAGUCACUAUAGCUCAAAGCAACAAUUCCCAAGCAUGAGUUGGGGCCUUGACUUAGAUUUCCACUCCAUGCUUUUUAGUAUUUUCUCCCACGAAGAUUUAGACUUCUCUUUUCUUGAUAGAAGCCCUCCUGAUACCACAAUGGCUAGAGGUAAGCCUUUGCAUUUCUUUAUAAUCUCAUUUCCCAUACCUUCAAACUCUACAAGACAAACAACUGGUGAUGUACUUGCAGUUGGAAAAGUUUUCUUGAGAAAGGGCAUCCAACUCUCUUCUGGACAUAAAGGACGGAGUUCAUAGAGCUGUGCAUGGGCAUCCGAAGCAAUUUGUUGGUUAUGUGUGGUGAUGAGCACUCUGCUCUUGUUUGACUUAUGCUAAACUUGGAUGCUCUAUACAUCAUCCAACACUAUCAAAUACCUUUUAUCUUUGAGGUAACCAUUAACCUCUUUCCCCAAUUGAUCCUCAACCAUUUUAUAUUACCUUUAAAAAUUAUUUAAAAUAGCCUUAUGUCACGGACUUAGUCUUUUCCUAAUUAAGCUUGUGCGGCACUUAGACAAACUAAGACCCUUGAUCUUGCUAAGUCAGUCUUACUCUCAAUGCUUAGCUUGCUAGGCUAAGACGCUCACUACUCGGAAGUUUUAGAAGGUAUAGUAGGCAACUCUUAUAGAAUGAAAGCUUUAUUGCUUUCAAAUGAAGCUAUACAAUGCUUAGAAGCUCACUUGCUUGGUUAGGAAGUGAUAUUGAAGCUUUAUUACUUUACUGCCGUCUAGACUUACUUCUCAGCCUUCUCUCAUUGAUGCAUGCAUUCCCUGCUUUCUUGCUAUCUAUCGAGUGCUUCUGCAUUUUACCUAGCCUAAAUUCAUGGACUCCACAUGACCCUUUGAUGUGCAUAGUAAAUUAGGCAAAGAGUCAUUCGUUCCGUUUCUUUUCCAUCUCAGCAGAAUGAAUGGGUGCUGUGAUCUUAUUUUGGUGUAUUUUGUGGUUAUGUACGCAUAGGUAGUAUUAUGUUUGAUUUAAGUAACUAAAAAUAGGCAUGGGUGGACUAUGUUUUCUAUGUUUGGAUCCCUAUGAAUGUAUUGUAUUAGGUUGGCAAUUUUUUUUUAUUGAUGUUUUACUCCAUGCAACUUAUUUCCUCGGAUCUUAAUGGUUGUGAUUGAAUUAAAAUUACUAUGAGGUAAGGGUUUGAAGGAGCAAGAUAAAGUAUGAAAACUUCCAAAAAAAAAAAAGAGAAACAGAACAAUGUGAAAAAUGGAGAAAAACCUGACAGGAAUGCAGGAAAUUUAAUAGAUGAAAGUUAUUUAUUCAUUUUUAAUUGAGAAAAAUAGAAUAUUAUUAUUAUUAUUAUUAGAAAAUUAUUUAUCAAUUUUCUAUUAAAAAAUUUUCUUGGAUUUCACAGAAAAUAUAAUAAAUAAAUUGACAUUAGCUUCCAUGAACUUAUCUCAAAUCCCAUUUUUUUGUGACAGAAGCUUCUGAGGACAGGAUUUUUUUUCUCAGGAAAAAUGGGUGGAACAAGGUGGAAGGUGUGGAAUAGAAGAAUGGAGAAUGGUAUGGAUGUAUUGAUAUGAUUUUAAUCCUCUUGGUAGAUUGUGUAAAUCAGAUGAAUGCGUCAGAGAAUUUCUUGAAUAAGGGUGUAGUAAUUUUCGGUAAUGAAGAGUUCAGUAAUUUGUUGAAUUGUUUUUAAAAUAUUUUCUUUUUCUUUCCAGUUUUUAAGAUGAUAUUGGAAGGUUUGACUCAGUAAUAUUAGGUUUAUAUGUGUUCAGAAUAUGUGCAGGGUUUACAACUUAUAUAAUUUUUGGCAAAUAUUUGUCACAACAGUAAUUAUGAAACUUUUAAGAUGAAUUUAGAAGUGAAAAGUGUUUUAAAAAGUGGAAAAAUCUCCGUAAAAAAGAUUGUGUUAUCUAGCAUGAUUUUUUUUUUCUUUGCUUUUCUUUGCUUUUGUUGCAACUCUUCUAUUUCCAACCUUUUCUUAGGACCAAAAUACUAAUAGUUUCUAUUAAGCAAAAUAAUAAAACAUGACACAAGAUGUACAAUGAUAGGACACAUAAUGAUAAGAAUCCACUUUCAUUAAUAUUUAUAUAAAUAAAAAAUAAUCAAAUAUUAAUUUUAUUUGAUUCUCCUAAUUUAGAAAAUAAUAUUUAUUUUAGAUAAAUCAAGAGCAGCUAAGAAUAUUUUAUCUUCUUAAUUUAGGAAAUAAUAUUUAUUUCCUUAAUGUUAAGAUAUUUAUUUCUUUCUAUGAUACACAAUGCAUCUUUGUAUAAAUUUCUGAAAAAAACAAUAAAACAAUUGUUUUCAUUAUGAAGAAGCUCAAACUUGAGUCUUCUCCAAGAGUGGUUGAAUGUUCUAGAAAGAAUGUCAUAAAAGGCUUGAUGUAUCCUCGUAAAUCAUAUCUUCCUCUUUAAAAAAAAAAAAAAAAAAAAGCCUUAAUGUUCCCAUCUUCCAUUAAUAUUCUUUCUAGUUUGAUUUCAAUCAAGCUAAACAACACAAAUUUUCUACCAUGGUGAAAUCAAAUCAUCCUCUUUCAUGACUUCAAUGUUUUAGCCUUUCAUGUAUGUUCUACGCUUUCAUUAGAGUUAUUUCUGGCUUGAUUUCAAUCAAGUUAAACACCACAAAUUUUCAAUUUUUGUCAUCUUCUUAAUUUGUGGUGUAAGUGUUCUCCAACAUUUCUUACCUCUUGAAAAAAUUAAAUAUUAUAAGGAAAGCAAUGUUCUAUCUUACAAUACUAGUUAUUGAUCAAUGAUAAAUUCAUCACUUCAUGAAUUUGAAUCAUAAAAGAGCAUAUUUUAAGUAUAAUCUUUGGUGUUAACAUGGUGUAUGAGAUAUGAACUUUUAAAGAGAAAUUGCUUCUUAUUAUAAUUGACAAUCACGUCAUAAUCAAAAGCCAAUUUCAAAUCAAGACAAAGUUUGUGAAUCUGUUCAUGGUUUAGGAUAAAGGUCUGAAAUAUUUUUCACCUACUAUGCUUUUCUAGCCUAUUCAUGGUAGCUUUUUAAGAAUACAUGCAAUCAUUCACUACCAAAAGGGAGGGAGAAAACAUUCUUAGAGCAUGCACACAUUUUUAUUUGAACGAUAUAGUCAUAAUUAAAAUGGUUGAGAAGACAAAAUUUUCAAUGUUAGGAAAGAGGCUUCACACUUUUUGUGUGUUAUAUUUCUCACAAAAAAAAUUCUUUCAUGUUUUGAUCAAAUCUCCAUAAAAAAUGAUGUCUUCACCAUGUUUAAGAGUAUAUUGGGUCAAAUAUACUUUACCUUCUUAAGUAAUCAUGUGCUUUACAUUUUGUUCCCUCGUUUAAAAUUCAACAAUUUGUCUUCCAAACUUCUUAAAAACCAACAUUACACCUUUUUUGUUGAAUGAUGUUACAUUAAUAAAACGAAAAAUGUAAGUGCCUUGCAUGUGACCUAAUAAGUAGAGGUAAAAUUGUCAUUUGAAAUACUCAAAGCCUUAAAAUCUCGUCAAUCUUUGUUUUUCCUUCCUCCAAACUCUUCAAUCUUCGAUUUUCUUUCUCCAAAGCCCUAAAAUUCAAUCAUCAAAGGGUUGAGAGUUUGAUUUAAAAUAUGGAUUUCAAUGAUAGUUUUUUUUUUUAUAAACCCCUACACUGUUUUGCUUCAAUUUUGUCUUUGAUAGCUAAGAAAAUUUCAAGAAGAGAAUAAAUUUUGAGUGAUGAGGUGUUUAUAAGGGUUAGGGUUUUCUUUUGAUAGUUGAAAAAUUUUUGGACAUCAUCAAUUUUUUUUUUCAGACUUAUAAAAUAUAUAAUAAAUAUUUUUUAAAUAGCUUAACAAAUAUUUUUUUUGUUUUUUACUUACAAAAUAAUAAAUAUGCCGUACAUUAUUUGUCCUAUAUAUUAAAUAAUUUUUAAAUACCUCAUAAAAUAUUAUUAUUAUUAUUAUUAUUUUAACUUACAAAUUAGACUCAUAGUGUUUAUUAUUUGUCAUAUUAUUUUGAAAAUAAUGUAAACAAUCACAUGCACUUUAAGAUAUUCAAAAUUUCUCUAUUCCAAAAUUAUCUAACUGUUCAUCACACUAAUUCUAAAUAUUUUAAAAUAAAGAUUUUAUACUGUUUUGGUUUUGGAGAGUUUAUUUUAUAUGUUGUAUAUAUUUUAUAUAUUUUUUUUUUGUUGGGUAUAUAUAGAAUUGAACAUUUGAUAGUUUAAAAUUUUUGUUUUAAUAAAAGAAAUCGUUAAAUAAACAUGUUUUAAUAAAAUAAUAUUUCUAAAACAUUUUUCUUAAUAAAAGAAAGUUUUUUAUUAAUAAAAAUAAAAAAAAACGCUUUUAAGAAAAUCCAAAAAAAAAAAUUGUUUGUAAUGAAAUUUGAAAAAUUAUUUUUAAUAAUAAUUAUCAAAAAAAUUAUUUAUUUAAUAAAAAUUGUUCAAAAAAAUUAGUUUUUAAAUAAGAUUUUCCAAAAGAUUAUAUUUCAUAAAAAAUCGUACAAUUUUUUUUUUUUUUUACAAAUAAAUUCUAUUUCCUUACUUAUAAUAGGAUUAAAAGUAAUUUUUGUAAAUUACAAAUUUCAAAAUUUUGAACCGCCCUUUUAGAUUUCAAAAUUUGAAAUGAUUUACGCCGCUGUCCGCAACUUGCAAUUUCAAAAAUUUGAAAUUGUUUACUUUGCUUGGGUGCUCGUCCCUUCAAAUUUCAAAUUUGAACGUUUGCCCGCCUUUCAGCUUUCAAAAUUUCUCGCCCAUCAAAUUUCAACUUAGGGGUGCCCGCCUGCUUGCCCUUCAUUUCAUAAUUCCAUAAACAAUUGUCCUCAUCUUGGCUGUCCUUUCGUUGGUUUUUUUUGGAAGACACGGGGGAGAAGGUAGAGACAAAGGUUGACAGAGUAAGUGUAACGACCCGCACCCAACCAUGUAGAUAUUGUCCGCUUUGGGCCCAAGGGGGCCCUCACGGCUUUAAAACGCGUCUACUUGUUUAAGAAGAGUCUCUACAUAUAUAGCGUCAGGAACUUCCUCCCCUAUCCGAUGUGGGACAUCACAAAUACCCCCCCCCCCNNNNNNNNNNNNNNNNNNNNNNNNNNNNNNNNNNNNNNNNNNNNNNNNNNNNNNNNNNNNNNNNNNNNNNNNNNNNNNNNNNNNNNNNNNNNNNNNNNNNUUUUUUUGGAAAGACCCGGGGGGAAAGGGAGAAAAAAGGGUUAACAGAGUAAGGGUAACCCCCCCCCCCCCCCCAUGUGUUUUUUUUCCGCUUGGGGCCCAAGGGGGCCCCCCCGGUUUAAAAAGGGGUUUACUUUUUUAAAAGGGGUUCUUAAAUAUAAGGGGUCGGGAACUCCCCCCCCUUUUCGGAGGGGGGACUCCAAAAAUCCCCCCCCCCCCCCCCCCCCAUGCAGACACAACGUCCUCGUUGUGUCCCAUGGGAUUGUGGGGCCAAACAGACAAAGCCAAACAAACUCCCACACCGGGGUCAGGGAUCGGCUCUGAUACCACUCUGUCACGCCCAAGACCCACUCCAAGGGCAUGACGGUCAUUUCACACCUCAAACCCGAAGGCUUAAAGUAUAAUCUGACCCAAACAAUCAUAUUGUAACUGGAUGUUACCAAUUACCAAAUACCUGUUCAGAGUAGCAGAACAAAAUCUAAAAUCCUCAAAAUUCAAUUUCCAAAUAACUUCCAAAUAUCAAAUGAUCCAAAUGAACAUAACUAACAGUUAAACAAAAUCCAACAUAAAAUCUUAAGUCAANNNNNNNNNNNNNNNNNNNNNNNNNNNNNNNNNNNNNNNNNNNNNNNNNNNNNNNNNNNNNNNNNNNNNNNNNNNNNNNNNNNNNNNNNNNNNNNNNNNNACCCAACCAUGUAGAUAUUGUCCGCUUUGGGCCCAAGGGGGCCCUCACGGCUUUAAAACGCGUCUACUUGUUUAAGAAGAGUCUCUACAUAUAUAGCGUCAGGAACUUCCUCCCCUAUCCGAUGUGGGACAUCACAAAUACCCCCCCCCCCCCCCCCCCAUGCAGACACAACGUCCUCGUUGUGUCCCAUGGGAUUGUGGGGCCAAACAGACAAAGCCAAACAAACUCCCACACCGGGGUCAGGGAUCGGCUCUGAUACCACUCUGUCACGCCCAAGACCCACUCCAAGGGCAUGACGGUCAUUUCACACCUCAAACCCGAAGGCUUAAAGUAUAAUCUGACCCAAACAAUCAUAUUGUAACUGGAUGUUACCAAUUACCAAAUACCUGUUCAGAGUAGCAGAACAAAAUCUAAAAUCCUCAAAAUUCAAUUUCCAAAUAACUUCCAAAUAUCAAAUGAUCCAAAUGAACAUAACUAACAGUUAAACAAAAUCCAACAUAAAAUCUUAAGUCAAAUCCUAAUGAUGACCAUUCCUCAGCCUAGCCAUCACUCCUCACCCGAACUAAGAGUACCUGAAGAAUUUUCAACAAUUGGGAAUGAGCUCACAGCCUAAUAAGGAAUAUUAAUGCAGUUCAUGAAUCAAAUAUUUUCAUUUUAAAUAGGAGAUAUCAUUUUUUUUUUUUCAUCAAAUAUUAGAGUUUCAAAAAUACCAAUAUAUUCAAAAUUCAACCAACCAUUUUCAUAUCAAAUUCAAACACUUUCACAUAAGAUUCAAUCAAAUCCAUUCAAUUUUCAUUACUCUGGUUAUCAAAUAUCAAAUGCCCAAUUAGGUGGGACUUUUCAAAUGGGUGGCUAGCUUCAAAUUGUUCCUGGUGGACGGAACUAAACACUACUAGUACUAGUAACCUCUAACCAAACCCCUAGAGGCUGGGGUCCAAAUCAAUUACAUUCCCACCAUGAAAUGUAAAGGUCAACUAUUAUAUCCCGUUGACAGGGCCGAAUAGUCAACUAUUAUAUCCCGUUGACAAGGGCCAAAUAAACCAGAGUGAUGGUUUUGUUCAAGUAUUCAAAUUUACACAACAUAAUAUCUCCAUAUUUUGUGUCAUAAAUGAAACAAAAUAUUCCAACAUAACAUUUAGUGCAAAACAAUUUGAUCCAUGCAUGAUAACAAAAUAUCAUUUUCUUUUCCACAAUUCAAAAUAACGUAUAAAAUAAUUUAAUUUUAUAAAUAUUACAUUAACUUCCUUUACCUUAAAAGAAAUCCUCCAAAAACUUUGGAGAAAAAUAAUCCUGAAAAUCUACUCUUCACCUAACAAAACAUAAGAGAAACAAUUAUUACUAUUUAUUUAUAAUUUAACUAAUCUAUUCCUUAUUUAAAUAAACUAAUAAAUUCCCAAUUUAUUUCUAAUAACACAUUACUAAUUUAAUUAAAUUAUAAUUUUAUUUCAUUAUAAAAUUCUAUAUAUAUAUAUAUAUAUAUAUAUAUAUAUUUUGCUAAAUCUAUUAUUACUAUUAUCUUAAUUAUAAAUCUAAAACUAAAUAUUAUUAUUUUAAUUAACCAAUUCCAAAGCCACUCAACCUAUCUCGGGUACACCAAACCAAAAAGCAAGUUUUUUUUUUUUUUUCAUUGCCAUCAUGAUCCAUUAUAUAUAUAUAUAUAUAAAAGGGCUUCCUGGCGCACGCCUUUUUUUUUUUGUUCCAUGCUUCCAAUAACACAGUACACGUAUGCCCUUUUUUGUUUUUUUUUUUUUUUUAAUAAAAUUAACCCUAACCUAAAAUCGAAACCUUCCAAGAAAAUUUUUUUUUUCAUCUAAUAAAACUUAAGAUCUCCCAAAUUCAAAUACUAAAAUCAAAAUAUUAAAUUUUCACUAUUUGAUAUUAAAACGAAUUAAAAAAAAAUAAUCUAACCCUAAUCUAAAUUUGGGGUUUUCCAAAAAAAAAAUAUCUAAUAUGCUUGAAAUUAACUAAUGACUCUAAAAUAAUAAUCUAGGGGUUAGAAACUUACCUAUAGAGGUUUGUUCUUCAAACCUUAAAAUCUGACCUCAACUUCACGUUCUCUGGAAACUCUCUGCGAACAGGAAUACAAUUCAAAAAAGAACAGGAAGAAGAGAAUUUUCUAUUUAUACCUAGGGUAUUAAUCGUAAGGAGUGUUUGUCUGUUUGACCCCGCAAUCUCAUGGGACACAACGAGGACGUUGUGUCUGCAUGGGGGGUAUUUGUGAUGUCCCACAUCGGAUAGGGGAGGAAGUUCCUGACGCUAUAUAUGUAGAGACUCUUCUUAACCAAGUAGACGCGUUUUAAAGCCGUGAGGGCCCCCUUAGGCCCAAAGCGGACAAUAUCUACAUGGUUGGGUACGGGUCGUUACAAAUGGUAUCAGAGCUGAUCCCCAACCCCGGUGUGGGGGUUUGUUUGGCUUUGUCUGUUUGGCCCCGCAAUCCCAUGGGACAUAACGAGGACGUUGUGUCUCCAUGGGGCGGGGCGGGGGGGGGGGGGGGGGGGGGGGGGGUUUUUUUAUUCCCCCCCCCGAAAGGGGGGAAAGUUUUGGGGGGUUUUUUUUUUAAAACCCCCCUUUACCAAAAAAAACCCUUUUUAAACGGGGGGGGGCCCCUUGGGCCCAAAAGGAAAAAAAAUUAAAUGGGGGGGGGGGGGGGGUUUCCAAAAGGGGGGGAAAAAAGGACCCCAAAAAGGGGGGGAAAAGGGGGCUUUUUUUUGGAAAAAUUUUCCCCGGGUUUUUUUUUUUCCCCCCCCUUUUUAAAAAAUUUUUCCCCCCCUUUUUUUUUUUUUUUUUUUUUUUUUUAAAAAAAAAUUUUUUGGGGCUAACCGUUUUUUUUUUUUUGGUGCGGGGGAAAAAAAAAAAAAAAAAAAAAAAAAAAUUUUGUAUUUUUUGGGGGGGGGGGCCCCCCCUCAAAAGGGGGUUCUUUAAAAAAAUACCCCCCCCGGGGGCCCCUUUUUUGGGGGUUUUUUUNNNNNNNNNNNNNNNNNNNNNNNNNNNNNNNNNNNNNNNNNNNNNNNNNNNNNNNNNNNNNNNNNNNNNNNNNNNNNNNNNNNNNNNNNNNNNNNNNNNNAAAAAAAUAAAUCUACCCGUAAUCUAAAUGAGGGGGUUUCCCCAAAAAAAAAAUAUUUAUUAUGCGGGAAAAUUAAAUAAAGACUCUAAAAUAAUAAAUCUAGGGGUUAGAAAUUUACUUAUAGAGGUUUGUUUUUCAAAACAUUAAAAUAAGACCUCAAUUUCACUUUUUCUGGAAACUCUCUGCGAACAGGAAUACAAUUCAAAAAAGAACAGGAAGAAGAGAAUUUUCUAUUUAUACAUAGGGUAUUAAUCGUAAGGAGUGUUUUUCUGUUUGACCCCGCAAUCUCAUGGGACACAACGAGGACGGGGGGGGGGGGGGGGGGGUGUUUGUGAUAUCCCACAUCGGAUAGGGGAGCAAGUUCCUGGCGCUAUAUAUGUAGAGACUCCUCUUAACCAAGUAGACGCGUUUUAAAGCCGUGAGGGCCCCCUUGGGCCCAAAGCGGACAAUAUCUACAUGGUUGGGUGCGGGUCGUUACAGUAAGGGGGAGAAACAAGGAACCAGAGGAAGGAAGCAGAAGGCUAGCUUAUUCGGUAUACAUUUCCUCUGGUUCUUUUGUUCUCUCCCUCUGUUUAAUAUAAUUCUUACCUCAAUUUAAUUUAAUUCUUAUUGAUUUCUAUAAAUAUAUAUUUUAGGUCUAUACAGUUUCAUUUUUAUUGGUUCAUGUAAAUAUAUAUAUAUAUAUAUAUAUAUAUAUUGUAUAUUUUGUUGAGGUUGCCUGCCCUUCAUAUGAGGGUUCCGUUAACAAUUAUCCGCGUCCUGGACGUCCUUUGGUUGGUGUUUUUUUGGGAGACCGGGGCGGACCAGGAACGGAGAAAGAUUUACACAGUAAGAGAUAGAAACAGGAAAUCGGAGAAAGAAAGCAAUAGAGUAGGUUCAGUGCACAUUUUAUUUCUCUCAUCUAUCUCAUCUAAUUCUUAUUGAUUUCUAUAAACAUAUUUUUUUUAUAUAUAUUUUUAUUAGGUUUGUAUAGUUUCAAUUUGUUAGGUCUUGCUAGUUUUUGGUGAAGGAUAGCUUGCUCGAAGCCGCUUCAAGCAGUACUACUUGGGGGAACCUUUCCAGGUAUGGCGGCUGUACGCUUCUUUUUAUUUUUUAUGAAUUUGCUCCAUUUUAUGCCGAUUUUCUGGGUAUUUAAUUGAUGACUGAUGUGGAAAUUAAGUUUUAAAUGGUUGUUUUUACUGAAUCUGAAUUUGUUUUCAUACUUAACUCUGUUUUGGUUUUCUACUAAUACCUUUUAUUUUCCUCUAAAUACCUAACGUAUGGACUGUUCUUGGUUGGAUACUUGCUAAUCAUGCCACUGCUCUCUGCUUGUCCCACUUACGUUCAAGCACUUGGAUAACACAAUGAAAUGUGGCUUCCUCUAACUGUUUGUCUGUACCACUUUUGUGUUUUACUUUCUUCAUAUCAGAAGAUUAAAAUGAUUUUUGUGCCUUUUCUAUGAUAAAUGAAAAAUAAUUAUUCCCCUUUUUACCCCUAUUUGAUUCAGCGGAUGGUUUGUUUCACGUUCUAUUUUCCAGGGGACCUAAUAAGUUUGAAACUGUUUAUAAUGUUUUGUUUUUCGUAUUUUAGUAUCAACACACCCAACUCUCAUAUAAGGCGUUGCAAUUGAUAGAAUCAAAGGCUGGACAUGGAUCAAAUUGCUGGCCCAAGCAGUAGACGAGGUAUGAAAAGUGUUUGAAAAGUCUGUUUAAAAUUGUCAAGUUGGAAAUAUUUAGUUACCAAGAUAUGAUUAUGAGUUAUUAAAUGGCAAAAUGAAUAAAAAUUCGUAAUUUUGAGGUUUUUCUUUGAUACACUUAACCAUGUAACCUAUAUUUAUGAAAAUCAAAUAAAAUUGUUUGGAAUCUAUUAAACAUUAUGAUUAAAUAUAUUAUAGCUUUGUAUAAUAUAGAUCAACCCAGUUACUCACCAUGUAGCUUAUUAGGGUUUUUAUUUUAUUUAUUUAUUUAUUUAUUGUUAAUUUGAAUUAAAUUAAACUGCCAAAUGCAAUAUAAUUUAAGAUAUUUGUAAGCUCUAUUUGAUAGUAUUAGAGGUUUAUGUAACAUAUUUGUUAACUAAACUACCAAAUGAGGGAUAUUAUUAAUUAUUGCAUUAGGUUAUCUAAUUUAAACUGAUUAUUUUCUCAUGGUCUUGUAGGUUUAGGACAUUUUUAGAUUAUUAUGUCUUACUCUUUAUUUAAUAUUUAAAGGUGUUGCAUAAUUAAUCAAGAUGAGAGAGACAAGUCUUACUCUGUCCAAGAAGAAUUAAUUAGGAUCUAUCUUAUCGUUAAAUGGAUGUUAGGCUUUAAGCAAGAGGGGUGUUAGUAUUGAUUUUAAAGUACUCGUGAGUGAGUCGACGUUUUAGCAUUACCCCAUGCUCAAAGUAGAAUUCUAUGGAAUUCUAAAAUGUUUCUUUUUUAAGAGUUUUUUCUUUCUGGAAAAUCUUAGAUUUUCUUUUUAUAGGUAAAAAGAAAAUCUAAAAUUUAGAGGGUCAUCAGAAUGCACACGAAGCAUAUAAAAAACAUUUUUCGGUUAAGUCAAGGGGAAACAACAAAUACAAUUUGCCCUCGGCCUAAGCCUAAAGCAUAAAAGACCAAGAGAAAACAAAAACCUCGAGAUGACCUUCUUGUAUGCUUGUCGACCAAACUGGUUGCUGUGACCCAACCAUGACAAAAAGAUGAAACAAAAAAAAUGCAUCUUCUACCCUUGACUCUUUCUGAGGCCACAGUUUUUUGAGUUGCGCCAAGAUCCUUGCACUGAAGCCCACUGUCGGCAAGCCCAACGAGUCGGUGAAAGUUUUCGGGUUGCUUGAGGACGGAUUCGCCAUAGACACCCAUGCUCUAGAAACCCAGCCUGGACAUGACCCAUUUGCAUUCACUUGUUCUGAGAAACCGAAAAAUCCAUUUUAGGGGACCGUAAUCAUUUCCUAGAGAAUUAACAGAAAAAACCACCUCACAUCCCUUCGAAUCAAGACCAACCCCAUAAAAUGCAAAAGUUGCUCAUGUCUCCAAGGGAGAAAGAGAGAAAGAAAAAGUACCAGAAUGUCCUACCGCUACUUCCAUAAGGGCAAUUUCUCCAACUGCAGCAAGUGAAGUAGCACUCUCACGUUCUCAACAGCGCAUCUCUCCCGUGGCUUCACCGCUAUCCUCUAGACCAGAAAACGCAUAACUCGAAACGUCAGUAGAAAUAAAUGGUUGUACUUCCCACCACAAUUGAUGGAGAAGCAAGAGAAGUCAUCCACCGCCGUCAAUAUCCCAAGCAUCCUUCUCUCAUCUAAUCUUGCUAAAGCCACGCAAGUAUCCCUAAUCUUUUUUAACGUCUUCGGACUCCACAAGUGCAAAGGAAGCCUUACCACGCUAACCCACACUUCCUUGGCAUGCGCACCUUUUCGACAACAGUCUACCUCGAGGGACGACCUAUCCAAGCGCAAAACCAUUUCCUUAAACCUUUUUACACCACUUGGCAAAACAAUCUCUUUAUCACAGCCAUGAUCAUACUCGAACUAUAGAACAACACCCCUUAGCAAGAUAAUCCUUAUCACCCCUUAGAGACCAAUCAUGACCUACACAACUCCUGAACCCAAGAAAAUCUGGGGUUAGGUAUAGAAAAUCUACCCAUCUCCCUACUAGACAACUACUCAAUUUCUCUAUCCGGGUUGAACCUCCUCAUCAAACUGAAUCCAAAUUGUUUCAUUCACCAAAUCGUGCUCUUUAUAACCAAGUCUACAAUAAACCCCUUCAAUGGAUACACUGAACUAUCCAUGUUCAAAGACCUUGAGGUAGUUGGGUAUGGAAGCCUCAUUUCCUUUGACGAAACUACUCAGAGAAAGUGAAGUUUGUCGGCCGGGAUAGACCCUAUCCCCUAGGAUACUUGUCACGACCCAAAUUCCGGGCGACCCAAAAUUUGACCCAUGACCCCAGGUCAAAGGUUUGACCCUAAGAGUUCCUCCUAUUCCACGUUGGCAGUCAACCAAAACACUCUGGAUUUUUUUUUUAUAUACAUCUCACUAGAAUUCUCAUAAACCACAAUAUCCCAAAACUACUCAAAACAACAAGAUUAAAUAAAUAUUCAUUAGAGUCCAAAAUAAAAUUUCACAAUUAACACUUAAUCAAAAUAAAGCUUCAUAACAAAUCCAUGAGUCAUAAUUACUAAAACAAAUCCAUGAGUCAUAAUUACUAAAACACAAUAACAGAAAAUGUCACGUUCCACUAGGCCGCUCCAGGAGCAUCCUGAAGUCCUCCCUGCCCCACCUGUGGAUCCUCAAGAGAGAUAUCUGCAUCUAAAAAUGUGUAACAAGGAAGGGGUGAGCAUUUCCACAUUGCUCAGUAGGGUGCCUAACACCCAAGGGGUUAAGGGGAUUACUAAGUUUCAAAGAAUACGAAAAGAACACUUCAACACCAUAGGAACAAUUCAACAAUAUCAAUCAAACCACAUAGUUUAAUAUAUAAUUCUAUACACAAUUUCACAAUAUUCAACAAUUACAGGAAUGCACAUGAACGUGUGACACACAGUCAUACAAUGCACUAUUGUUCUCAGGCUUUCACCGAAUGAUACGCGUCCGCACCCAAAUACACUCCCCAUUCGGAGUUGAUUCGUCCCUAGCAGCGGCAGUGGCAAUGGCACCAUCUGAUUCGGGGUUCGAUCCCCGGCAACGGCGCCAUUUGAUUCGUGCCCAAUUGAUGUCUCAGCUGAUUCGUGUCUAGCUGGUGCUCCUUGAUUGAGGGAUUAAUCAACAAAAUUUAUAACCUAUUACACCAUAUACUAGGGUAGCAAAGACAAAGCUACUAUAGCAUAGUGGCUCUAGGAUCGUUCACUGGGAUGGGUUUUCACUUCACAAAUGAUAUUAAUUCAAAGUUGAAUUGGUGCCUUUUCAUUUCAAGGUUAGCUUUAAAAGAAAACAUAAAAAUGUUUGAAUGAAAAAGGUUUGGUUUUACACUAACCAAAAAUAGUAACUGAUUUUACUUACAAAGAAAAGUGUUUCUUGGAGUUCAGAUCACUAGGCUCAGGUUCCUCAUACAAAAAAGAGAGUUCCGGUCACUUGUUUCUUUUCCUCGCAUUAGAGAAUUAACAUAUAGUUCCUUCUCCAACCGGUGUUGUACAGAUGCUUCCCAUUAAUGGGUUCAAACACUAAAUCCCUCUCACUGAUGCACCUUGCAAUGACUCAUACCUCUCACCUAGCACUUGCCAUUCAAGGUGAUCUUUAACCUUGGAUUACCCGUCAAAAGCUCGCAAGAGAUAACUAAUGGAUGUCUCCUUGGAGUCCAAAAGCUUACCAAGUGUUGGCUAUUCUAGAAAAUCCUACCUUCAAGUCACCUCCCAAAGGCUCGCAAUGGGUAAACUAGUGCAUCUCCAUGGACGGAGAUCACUUGCCUUACCAAGUGUUGGCCCAGGUGAUUUAAAGGCGUUUUAAGUUAACUAAAAAGAUAAAAACCAUUAACGGGUUACACUUUCUCUUCAUUAAAAACUAAAACAACAAAACUUCCAAAUUAUGCAUGUGGAAACUUACCCGGCUUUCCUUACUCCAAGAGACAAAAAGCUUAGCCUCUCAUCCUCUUAGGAAAAAUCCUCAGAGUUUGGUUAGCUAGAAAUAAAAAGAAAUGAAAAAUCAAAGAGAAGGAAAAACAGAGCAAGGCUCUGUAUAUUCUAUAUAUUUAUCGAUAUGGAUUACAUGAUACUCUUACAGUGGAUGCAAGGGAAUAUAUAUAGAGACAUUUUUCCAACCUUCCCAACUAAGAAAUCUUAUGGUUGGUGGAUUACAAGGAGAAGAAUGGAAAUUCAUACAAAAAUAUCUGAAGAAAAAUAUCCCAAAGUGUCGGUCACAAAUAUCGGGGUGCUUCAGGAACCAUUUCGCAAGAGAAAAUGGUGUCUGCGAGAUUUCGCAGGCACUCAAGAAGGGUUGCGAAAUUACUUCGCAUCAACAAGCUGAACUCGCACCGCUGCGAAGUUGGAUUUCAUCUUGUGGUGUUUGGCUUCCAUCGCGACGUGAAACUUCAAGAGGAAUUUCAAAACACUGUACAAAAAGGCUGCGAAAUCAUCUCGCAACAAAAGGGUGAUUUCGCAACACUUUGCAAAUUUCUUCCUUCAGCUUGGAGUGAUUGACUUGCAGUGGCUGUAACUUCUUCGUUUCAACUCCAAAUUGCACACCGUUUGAAGCAUUGGAUUCUUGACUUCCUGAGCUUUGAAAUGGUAUAUAGAAUGUACAAAAUUGACUUCGGGAAGUGCUCCAAAAGUGCACAAGAAAACUGCAGCUGUUGUCCUAUGUUUUCUUCACUCUGUUUUUCCUCUCUCCUUGCUUCUCUCCUUGCAUACUUUGAACGACUUUGGCAAAGGGCUAUGGAGCUCCAAAGCUUGGUUCUUCAUUAAUUUGAGCUCUUCAUUGCUUUGCCAUGGAUUCCAAAUAACUCUCCUCAAUCCUGGAUUGUUUUGGUGAUCAAAUUACUAACAAAAACACCAAAACUUACACAAUUUGAUUAGAAAUGAUUGCAAGGGUCCUUAACAUGUUAAUUGGGUUAAAAGGCAAUAACUACUACUCAAAAGUGUUUAAAAGAGUUAAUUACAAGCUAUCAAAUAGCACUUUUUGAGUAGUAAUCAGUCUUCCUGGGGUAACUUUUGGGUCUUUCACCCUAGGGAUCUCUCUCCCUUCUUAAUUCGUCCCACACGACUUUCACUUCUCAUCACUAUUUCUUUUUUUUUUUUUUUUCCAUUUCAUACACUUUUCACAAUCUUCAUAAUUUUAUUUAUUUUCCACAUAACCAUGAUGCAAAUGAAUGCCACAAUUCCAAGGUUCCUCAAUAAUUCAACAAUUUCAACAUUCCCCAAUAAUCCAAUAAAAUAAUUUCACACAUUAAAAUUUCUGAUAAUAUCCCAAAUAAAUAUUCAAAAAUUUGCAUAUCAAAAAUCUUGAAAUUUUACCAUACUUACGGAAUUUUUCAACCAUUAUAAUAAUUUCUAAUAUUCGAAAUUAACUAACUUUCUAUCAUAAAAAUUCCAAAAAUUUUCUAACUAAUGCCUAAAAAUUCACCAAUUACUAUUUUUGAAAUUUAGCCCUAAUUUUGGAAUUUUUCAACCCUUCAAAUAAUUUUUUUACAAUUCAAAACAAUUAAUUAUCAAUCAAAAUCAAUUUCCCGCAAUUACAAAAAUUCCAAACAAAUUCCAAAUAUUCUAGAAAAAUUCAUACAAUCCCCAUAAUUCCUAAUUAACUCAUAAUGACAAUAUUUACAAUUUUUUUCAAGGGAAAAACAUAAAAAUUUAAGUUUUAAGGUUAGGGUCCCCUACCAAAGAUCUAAGAAUUCAGCUGCUAAAAAUACAAUUGGCCACUGUAUGAUUGUUCCCCUCGUCGAGUAGAACACACCCUCCAAAUCUGAGUUGAAACGGAGGUCGUUUGACCACCCAAACGACCGGUCAAAGCUCCGGCGAGGUGAGAUUUUCUAUAGUGCCGCUGCCCCUUUUCUCCCAGAUCUGCUACUGUUCCCUUCUUUUCCACUUAAGCCCAUUUCUUUUCAUUUUAAUCCACUUACCAAACAGCCCACUCAAGCCCAACCCAAGUUCAAAAUAAACCCAAUAACUAACUCCCAUUUUUCUUUUAAAACCCUAUUUCAUCCAAGCCCAAAUUACUCCAUUUUCAUUUUUUUUUUUCUUUUCUCUUUAUUUUUAUAAAACACACAAUUUAAUAUUUUUCUCAAUUUUUUAUUAAUAAGGAAUUUAAUUUAAUUAACUAUUAUUUUUUUUCUAAUUAAUUUUAAUUAAUUAACUUUUCAUUUUUGUUUUCGUUUUUUUUUCUUUUCCGGAAAUUCCCAAUUACUAAAAUCCUAAGAAAUUUCCACCCUAAGGCUGACAUGGCAUAAAAUUUUCAACUCACCUAAUUGACCAACACAAUAAACUGAAUUUCACCAAUCCAAAACUAACACCUGUUCUUCAGGCACUUUUCUUUUUGACUUUUCAACCAUCAUUUAAAAUAAGACUUUUCAAACUAAAAAUGCUAACGUGACAUAAAAUACCCGGUCAUUACAUCCUACCCCCCUAAAAGAAAUUUCGUCCCGAAAUUUAAACUAGCUUACCUUAAAAUUCAUAGAAGAGUUGCGAAUAGUGUCGUCUCAUUUCUUCCUCAGGUUCCCAAGUGGCUUCUUCUAUCCCAUGGUGUUGCCACCACACUUUGACUGCAGGAAUCACCUUGUUCCUAAACCUAUGCUCUCCAACUUCCAGAAUUCGUAAAGGUUCCUCCACAUAAGAAGUAUUUUCACUAAUCUGAACAUCUUGCAAAUCCACUACCCAAGUUGGAUCUGGAGUACACUUCCUUAGCAUUGACACAUGGAAAACAUCAUGCACAAGGGACAACUGUUGAGGCAAAAUUAACUUGUAUGCCACUGUGCCAACUCUCUUAUCAAUCUGAAAUGGUCCCACAAACCUAGGGGCUAACUUCCCCUUCUUCCCAAAUCGAAAUAUGCCUCUUCGAGGGGACACUUUUACAAACACCCAAUCCCCUUCCUCAAACUCCAAGGGUCUUCUCCUUUUGUCUGCAUAACUUUUCUGUCUAUCUUGGGCAGUCUUAAGUUUUUCCUUGAUGAGUUGUAUCUUCUCUGUAGUCUCUUAGACAAUCUCAGGUCCCAACAAACGACUUUCACCCAUCUCUAUCCAACACAAGGGCGACCUACAAGGUCUCCCAUAAAGUGCUUCAUAAGGUGCCAUGCCAAUACUAGAUUGGUAACUGUUGUUAUAAGCAAACUCUACUAAAGGUAAGUAAUCUGCCUAAUUUCCUCCAAAAUCCAAAACACAAGCCCUUAACAUGUUUUCUAAGAUCUGGAUCACUAUUUCUGAUUGACCAUCUGUCUGAGGGUGAAAAGCGGUGCUAAAAUUCAGUUGAGUGCCCAAAGCCCUUUGUAAACUCUGCCAAAAUUGAGAAGUAAACUUAGGGUCCCUGUCAGACACUAUAGAUACAGGUAUCCCAUGCAAUCUCACAAUCUCCUGUAUAUACAACUUAGCCAAAGAGUUCAUGGAAUCAGUAGUUUUCAUGGCUAGAAAAUGAGCUGACUUAGUAAGACGGUCCACAAUCACCCAAACUCCAUUUUUCUUGCUUUUAGUUCUUGGCAACCCUAUCACAAAGUCCAUAGUGAUAUUAUCCCACUUCCACUCAGGUAUAGGUAAAGGUUGCAACAAUCCUGCAGGCCUCUGGUGUUCAGCCUUCACUUGCUGACAAAUCUGACAAUUAGCUACAACCUGAGCAAUAUCUCUCUUCAUCCCACUCCACCAAAACUGUCUCUUUAAGUCUUGAUACAUCUUGGUAUUCCCAGGAUGGAUGGUAUACUUCGCCCUAUGAGCAUUUGCUAGAAGUUCAUUUCUCAACUCCACAUCUUUUGGCACACACAAUCUCCCUUUGAACCUCACACUCCCAUCUUCAUACAUAGACCAAUUUUCAUCUAUUUCACCUGCUACCAACUGGGCUUUAACCUUUUCUAAAAACUCAUCAUGAACUUGGGCCUCCACUAUUCUCUGGAUAACCAUUGGUCUAGCUGAUAUACUGUACAAGCAUGGACCAUGCCCUUCCAAACCAAGACAUAAUUCAAAAUCCUCAAUAACUGCAUGCAUCUCAAACUCUCUCAACUCCAAGCUAGACAACUGGCCAACACUCUUCCUACUCAAGGCAUCUGCUACAACAUUCACCUUUCUUGGAUGAUAAUGAAGAGCAAAAUCAUAAUCUUCCAAUGUCUCCAUCCAUCUCCUUUGCCUAGAGUUCAGAUCCUUUUGAGUGAAAAUAUAUUUCAAACUCUUGUGAUCAGAGUACACCUCAAACUUCUCUCCAUACAAAUAGUGUCUCCAAGUCUUAAGGGCAAACACCACUACUGCAAGCUCCAAAUCAUGUGUUGGAUAAUUCCGCUCAUGCUGCUUUAACUGUCUUGAGGCAUAAGCUACCACCUUGCCUUGCUGCAUUAGCACACACCCUAGCCCCACUGUGGAAGCAUCACAAUAAAUUGUAAACAACUCUCCACUAAUAGGAGCAGUUAACACUAGAGCAGUGGUCAAUUUCCGCUUCAACUCCUGGAAAGCAUUCUCAUACUCCUCAUUCCAAUCAAACUUCACCCCAUUUCUAGUCAACCGAGUCAUUGGUACUGCAAUUCUAGAGAAGUCUUCCACAAACCUCCUAUAAUAUCCAGCCAACCCCAAGAAACUUCUAACCUCAAAUACAUUGGUAGGCCUUUGCCACUCCUAAACAGCUUCCACCUUGGAAUGGUCUACUGCUAUUCCUGCCUCAGAAACCACAUGGCCUAAGAAAUUCACUUCAGUAAGCCAAAACUCACUUUUUUCCAACUUCCCAUACAACUGAUGUCUUCUUAAAGUUUUAAGAGUGGUCACCAAAUGCUGUUUAUGCUCCUCCAAACUCCUAGAGUAAAUCAAAAUGUCAUCCACAAACACAAUCACAAACUGAUCUAAGUAAGCAUGAAAUACUCUGUUCAUUAAAUCCAUGAAAGCAGCGGGGGCAUUAGUUNNNNNNNNNNNNNNNNNNNNNNNNNNNNNNNNNNNNNNNNNNNNNNNNNNNNNNNNNNNNNNNNNNNNNNNNNNNNNNNNNNNNNNNNNNNNNNNNNNNNUUAGUGUGCCAUCCUUCUUCUUCACAAACAACACUGGGGCUCCCCAUGGCGACGUACUCGGACGAAUAAAACCUUUACCCAACAAUUCAUCCAACUGAGUUUUCAAUUCCUUCAACUCAAGAGGGGCCAUCCUAUAAGGGGAUACUGAAAUAGGAUCAGUUCCUGGGAAUACUUCAAUAAAGAAAUCAAAUUCUCUAUGAGGUGGUAAACCUGGAAACUCAUCUGGGAAUACAUCUUGAAACUUUCUCACCACUGGAAUUUCUGCAAUGUCCUUCUAGGCUUUCUCCUUACCACGAAGGUAAGCUAGGAAAUUUAUUGAUCCCUUCCUCAACACAUACUGAUAGCACGGAUUGGAUUGCGAAAAAAGCAAACUAACACACUUUCCUCCAACAAAGCAAACCUCAAAUCCCUCUGGCAGACAAAAUAUUAUCCUGCGGCGAUGACAAUCAAUAAUUGCUCUAUACACUGCCAACCAAUCCAUUCCCAAGAUAACAUCAUACCCAGUCAUAUCUAAAAUCCUCAAAUCCACAUUAAGUGCUAUAUCCACCAAGGUAAUAACGCACCCCUUGCAUAUUCUAUCAACUUUAGAGUUCGUACCCAUAGGGGAUUCAAUAAGUAACAAAUUCUCUACCCUUUCUGAUUUCAACCCUGAUGCAUUAGCACAAGAUAUAGAAAUGAAAGAAUGAGUUGCACCAGUAUCAAACAAAACAUGCACCCAAGUACUAUAUACCAAAAUCAUACCUUCCACCAAGAGAGCGUCCUCCUCUGACUCUGUUGGGGUCAAGGCAAAAACUCUCCCAGCUGUCUGCCUUCCCCUACCUCUAGCAUUCGACCCCUGAGAAGAGCGGGUCUGACUCGUGGUAGCUGUCCUAGUUCCCUGUGCUGCUGGGGGUAAUUGUGGCAUCUGAUAGUAAGGCAACUGAAACUGAGGGGGCUGGAAAGGCACUACUGACUGUUAUUGAGAACUUCCCUGAGACUGAGGUCGAGCCUGCUGUGCACCUUGCACUGGGCAAGCCCUCCAUAAAUGGUCUCCUGCUCCACAACCAUAACAUACUCUAUUAGCAGCUGCCCUCUGAGCAAUCUGCCCCCCUCCUGCAUAGAACGAGGGACGCCUCUCAAACUGCUAAGUCCUCUGCCUCUGCUGUGGCCCUUGGGAACUUUCCCUCAUUCUUUGUUUCCCUUUUCUGUCCCCCUUUUGCUCUCGAAUUUGGUUAGUUUCGUCAAUGUCCUGCUCCACCAACAAAGCCCUCUUAACCAACUCAGAAUAGUCCCUUAUUGCCAAUGGGACUAAUCUAUUCCUAAUAGCAGGCCUCAACCCCUGCUGGAACCUUCUAGCCUUUUCUCCUUCCUCCCCGAUCAUCCCCAAAGCAAAUCUAGACAACUCCGAAAAGCGUGACUCGUACUCCAGCACCGACAUGGUUCCCUGGAUGAGGUGCUCAAACUCCAUCCUCUUGGCAUGCUUAGCCACCUCCCCAAAAUACUUGCCUAGGAAGAUUCUCUCAAAUUCCUCCCAGGUCAUAACCUCAGUGUCAUACACCCUUUUCAUUGAUUCCCACCAGAAAUCAGCUUUAUCAACAAGCAUAUAUGUUGCUAGACCUACCCUUCUUUCCUCAGGUAUGUCCAGUCCCACCAGAAUUCUUCUCAUCCUCCUCAACCAAUGCUCAGUUGCUUCAGCAUUGGGCUCUCCAUUAAAAGAUGGAGGUUGCAUCACCAUGAACCUCUUUAUUGCUUCCAUUUGGCUCAUUACUGGCCUCUCAGUGCGGUUCCUCCUAUGUGAGUGGCCUGAAUCCUCAUGGCCCUGGGUACCUCCUGAUCUCCUGGAACCCUGGCCUCUCAUCAAUUCAACAGUUUCUCUCAACUCUCUUCUUACUUCUCGGAGUUCUUCUCUUACCGUCUCCAACUCCUCAUUCCUCUCUGAUCUUCCUCCUCUGGUCCUUCCCGCCAUUUCAAGUUUAACAAACCCUAAUUCAAUCACAUUACUAAGGUGAGCAAAAAUAAAUUUCACAUAUACACACUUAGCAACUUCAACAAUUAUCAAAACUUUCACUUUCAUACACUCAUAAUACAUAAUUCAAUUAAUCAUCAACUAGUUAAUUAACACAUACAAAAAUCAUAACAUUACAACACACAUAAACACCCAAGGUAUUAUUGCAACCUUGGCUCUGAUACCACGCUGUCACGACCCUAAUUCCGGGCUACCCAAAAUUUGACCCGUGACCCCAGGUCAAAGGUUUGACACUAAGGGUUCCUCCUAUUCCAUGUUGGCAGUCAACCAAAACACUUUGGAUUUUUUUUUUUUUUAUAUAUACAUCCCACUAGAAUUCUCAUAAACCACAAUAUCCCAAAACUACUCAAAACAACAAAAUUAAAUAAAUAUUCAUUAUAGUCCAAAAUAAAAUUUCACAAUUAACACUUAAUCAAAAUAAAGCUUCAUAACAAAUCCAUGAGUCAUAAUUACUAAAACAAAUCCCAAAAUCCAAACAAAAAACACAAUAACAGAAAAUGUCACGCUCCACUAGGCCGCUCUAGGAGCAUCCUGAAGUCCUCCCUGCCCCACCUGUGGAUCCUCAAGAGAGAUAUCUGCAUCUAAAAAUGUGUAACAAGGAAGGGGUGAGCAUUUUCACAUUGCUCAAUAGGGUGCCUAACACCCAAGGGGUUAAGGGGAUUACUAAGUUUCAAAGAAUACGAAAAGAACACUUCAACACCACAGGAACAAUUCAAAAAUAUCAAUCAAACCACAUAGUUUAAUAUAUAAUUUUAUAUACAAUUUCACAAUAUUCAACAAUUACAGGAAUGCACAUGAACGUGUGACACACAGUCAUACAAUGCACUAUUGUUCUCAGGCUUUCACCGAAGGAUACGCGUCCGCACCCAAAUACACUCCCCAUUCGGAGUCUUCCCGGGGUAACUUUUGGGUCUUUCACCCUAGGGAUCUCUCUCCCUUCUUAAUUCGCCCCACACGACUUUCACUUCUCAUCACUAUUUUUUUUUUUUCCAUUUCAUACACUUUUCACAAUCUUCAUAAUUUUAUUUAUUUUCCACAUAACCAUGAUGCAAAUGAAUGCCACAAUUCCAAGGUUCCUCAAUAAUUCAACAAUUUCAACAUUCCCCAAUAAUCCAAUAAAAUAAUUUCACACAUUAAAAUUUCUGAUAAUAUCCCAAAUAAAUAUUCAAAAAUUUGCAUAUCAAAAAUCUUGAAAUUUUACCAUACUUACGGAAUUUUUUAACCAUUAUAAUAAUUUCUAAUAUUUGAAAUUAACUAACUUUCUAUCAUAAAAAUUCCAAAAAUUUUCUAACUAAUGCCUAAAAAUUCACCAAUCACUAUUUUUGAAAUUUAGCCCUAAUUUUGGAAUUUUUCAACCCUUCCAAUAAUUUUUUUACAAUUCAAAACAAUUAAUUAUCAAUCAAAAUCAAUUUCCCGCAAUUACAAAAAUUCCAAACAAAUUCCAAAUAUUCUAGAAAAAUUCAUACAAUCCCCAUAAUUCCUAAUUAACUCAUAAUGACAAUAUUUACAAUUUUUUUUCAAGGGAAAAACAUAAAAAUUUAAGUUUUAGGGUUAGGGUCCCCUACCAUAGAUCUAAGAAUUCAGCCGCUAAAAAUAUGAUUGGCCAUCGUAGGAUUGUUCCUCUCGUCGAGUAGAACACCCCCUCCAAAUCUGAGUUGAAACGGAGGUCGUUUGACCACCCAAACGACCCGUCAAAGCUCCGGCGAGGUGAGAUUUUCUAUAGUGCCGCCGCCCCUUUUCUCCCAGAUCUGCUACUGUUCCCUUCUUUUCCACUUAAGCCCAUUUCUUUUCAUUUUAAUCCACUUACCAAACAGCCCACUCAAGCCCAUUUCGUUUCCUCUUAAACAGCCCACUCAAGCCCAACCCAAGUUCAAAAUAAGCCCAAUAACUAACUCCCAUUUUUCUUUUAAAACCCUAUUUCAUCCAAACCCAAAUUACUCCCUUUUCAUUUUUUUUUUAUUUUCUCUUUAUUUUUAUAAAACACACAAUUUAAUAUUUUUCUCAAUUUUUUAUUAAUAAGGAAUUUAAUUUAAUUAACUUUUUUUUUUCUAAUUAAUUUUAAUUAAUUAACUUUUCAUUUUUGUUUUCGUUUUUUUUUUCUUUUCCGAAAAUUCCCAAUUACUAAAAUCCUAAGAAAUUUCCACCCUAAGGCUGACAUGACAUAAAAUUUUCAACUCACCUAAUUGACCAACACAAUAAACCGAAUUUCACCAAUCCAAAACUAACACGUGUUCUUCAGGCACUUUUCUUUUUGACUUUUCAACCAUCAUUCAAAAUAAGACUUUUCAAACUAAAAAUGCUAACGUGGCAUAAAAUACCCAGUCAUUACAAUACUUCUUCCUUGAGGGAAGCUCAAGGUGAACCUUUUAGUCUCCACACAACAAAUCAAGCAAAUAAUGAACCCAUCUGCCUCAUAAGAGCUUAGUUCCAGUGUAAACUCUGUCUCGUCUUCCACCCAUGUUUUGUUGCACAAAUUUUCAUCCUCAGACCUAUAACAAGCUUCCACAUCUUCCAACAAACAACACAAGUUCCUUUUCCCACACCUGAUCCACCUGGACACACCUCUGCAUCUCUCCAAAAUUCUCUUUUAGUUUCCCUCCAAACGUCUCUAUUAAGAUAUCAAAUGACUUUGAUCCUAUUGCAAAACAACACCUACCAUUUCUCGUCUCUCAUUGUAUAUUGUCUGGGAAGAGUAUAAAUGUGGAAAGCGUUUUUUGCUUGUCCCACAUAGGAAAAAGUGGAACACUUUUAGUGGGUUUAUGCCCACUCGCCUUAGCCUAAUGGGCCUUUGAGUGGGAAAAGCUCGCAUGCUCAUGGGGUCGAAUCCCAUUUGAGUGGGUUUUUAAUGUUCACUUUCUCUCCUCCUUCCUUCCUGUGUACGGGUGCGUUAUUCGCUAAUUUUUAUUUGUUACUCUUUUACUUUUUGUCAACUCUUUGGGAAGAACCCUAGAGUUCCAAUGAGAUUGUACUAGUAGAUGUCUUGUAACAUUUACAACUAGACUCUUGUUCUAUUUACAAGUAGAGUCUUAUUCGGAAUGUCAUGCAUUCGAGUAAGAGCAUUUGCCUUUCUUCUCUAUGUAAAUAAAAGGUUGGAAUGAUUUCAAGACCCUCAACAAAAGAAUGGAUUAAGGUGACAUUUUUAUUCGCUAUGAAAAAUAGUUUUGUUGUUUUUUUUUUUUUUUGUUUUUGUCGCUAAUAAAUUUUGCUCAUUAAGUUCUUGUUUGAUGUGCCCUUGUUAGAACACUAUAAUAGUUGUUCUUUUUGGGUUAAUGGUCUCAAUCAUGAAUUGAUAAAAUUUCAUAUCCUUUUUCUUUUGGAUUCCAAGCUCGGUUUUUUCUUAAUCAUUGUGGAAGACGAAGCGGUUCGCUAGCCUCUACAUCUAUAGAUCCUACGUAAUAAUUAAACUUGGUGGUGGCUCGUUGUUUGAUGAGUGAUUCCUUGAUCACUAGAUCUCGAGAUUCCACCUUAUUCUUGGUUGAUUGGCAUUCUUGUAAGCUAAUCUUGCAUACUAAUUCUAGGGGUCCUAGGUGAUGCACCAACCAAAGAAUGUUUAUUCCCUUAGCCAUAAAACAUGAGAUUGGCAAUGCUUGUUGCUCAUUAGUCUGUCAUUAAUAAGAUUUCUAGCUAUUGUUUUUAUUUCACUUACAAGUAAAGUCUUGUUCUAUGUUAGUGACAUAUAAAACUAAGACACUCCUCACUUUCCAAACACCAAUUUUUUGAAGAGUUUUUCAUAGCACUUUUCAUACAUCUAUGUAGAGGAAAUUUUCAAAGCUUAAGCUAUCCAUGACCUUUCUAAAAAGUGCACGCCCAGUGAGAUUCACUAGCAUUAAAUCUUGGAGGUAUAAUAUUAAUACCUUAAUACAUUGGGUUUGUCUUUGAGAUGGUUGGAUUUUUUUCAAGGAUAGAGCUUGUCAUGCCUUAGCUCAUAACCAAUAAGUUUUCUUGUUAUUCGUUUUAUUCUUUUUGUGUUUUUUACGUAAGUCCUUUGUUUUCAUACCCUUGGUAAACUUUUUAGCAAUGUUUUAUUUUGAAUACCAUAAGUUCUUCUCCCAUUCUCUUUACUGCAAACUUUGACAAAAAAAAAAAGGUUUUGCCCAAACUUUUAGAAGUUUUCUAUUUCAUUCCUAGGUGUGUGAGAGAGAUUUGUAACUCUCAAGUAAGAUUUAGGGAUAAGAGCUAUCAUGAGAAUUUGUACACUAAUGGUUUUAUAGUGGACUUAAGUUUUGUGAUGUCUGGUAGUUUUUACAUUGGCAUAAUCUUUUGGACAACUUUAAAUUAAUAUUCUCAUAAACUUUAUUAUCAUAAAUAUUUUGGGCUAAAGGGAAGUAAAUGCUGUAAAAAAUGUUAGUGUUGCACAAUUUAUUUUACUAUAACUGUAAGUAACUGAUUUAUUUUACUUAAUGUGAAUAUAAUGGGGCUCACGGUUGCCAUUUUGGAUAUGUUGGUUCUAUGAUAGUAAGGUUAGGAAGGCAACCAAAUAAUGAUGUCUCAAACAAAAAAUGUUCAAAAUUAUAUCAUGCCUUGUUUAAUUUAUAAAAAUAAAUAAGUAAAUGUGUUUUUAUGUUAGCUAUAUUGAAACGGUAAUCAAGAUAUGGAAUUAGUCUCUUGGACGGACUAUAAUGUAAAACCAAAGACAAUUCUAAUAGAAAAAGCACUGUCACAUUCCAAUCAAAAUUUGAACACUCCAUCCGCAAAUGAAAAGCUAACAUGUCCCAAGAUUAUAAAGUCAUUAUUGGUUUCGGAUGCCAAUGGUUCUAAGCCUUGUGUCUUCCCUAUAAACUAAAAUUGAUGUCUUUUAGUCCUUACUAUGUGACAAUCCCAGUCUUGUGCAUGGAGAAAGGAUCAAGCUUCAAUUGGUAGCACGGUUUGUAGAGGUGUAUGCGCAACUUGCAGAUGAGAUCGUACUCUUAUGGGUGGAAUAGCGCAUAGUGUUGCUGGUUGAUCUGCCAGUGAACUAGCUUGUAGAAUCACGAGUGUUGAUAGUCAAUCUAUCGUACAACCUGAAUCUCUUUAAGCUAAUAAUCUUAUGGCUUUUUAUGAUAUUACGCUGGUGGAGAAAUAUUUUGUUUAAGAAUUCAAUAUGAUGUUUCUAGUGGAUUGGUGUGCUUGAAUGUUGUGCAUUGUCAAUGUUUGCUUUAAUUGUCGUAAUUGGAGUGAAUUUUGGGGAAUCAGAUAGUAAGAAAUGAGCCUUUUGCAUGGGAAGGCAAUGCUGCUGGAGAACCAAAUUUCCUUUGAAGUUAGCGAUAGAGUGAUAGUGGUGUUUUCAUUCUUGCAAAAAUUGAAGAAUUUUUGGUUUGUCGUGAUCAUGCAAAUUAUUAAUGGGAAACAUAAUCGAAAGCUUGAUGGAAGGUGGAUGCCAACCAAUGGUGGAUAGUAGGGACCAAAUGAUUGUGAUGUGUAUAGGUAUAAGCAUCUGCUUGAUCUAUACCAAAGUAUAAAAUUGAUGGUAUAGGAUCAUUCGGAGAUUUGGUCCUAGAGUUUAUGGUCUUAUCAUUUGAAGAUGAAAACGACCAGUUGUGGUCGUUGGAAUCUACAUGAAGCAUAGUCCUACAAGUUAUUAUUUUAACAUUAUUAAGUUAUUAAUGAAUAAAAUAUUUAUUUAUAAUAUUUUCUGUAUAUCAAUUUAUAUUUGUUGAAAUAAUAUUAGAUUUUUUAGCUUAAAAAAAAUGUAGUCACAAUUGUGAAGUGAGGGUUUAGUUAAAAAAAUGGAGUCUCUAUUAACAAUUGUGGUUUCAAUUAAAAAAUGAAGACUCGUUGUCAGUACGGUUUUAAAAAUUGAAUUGGAUUGGUUGGUUGGAAUGUCGGUCAAUUUGAAUGGUUCAAACGUCCUUCGGUCGCCGUUUUGUUUGGUUCAAACGUCCUUCGGUCGCCAUUUUGUCUAGUUCGGUCAUUUAAGAAGGAAAGUGUUUGAAGCAGAAUUAGGCUAGUUAAAUUGGUGGUUGGAUCAUCGAAUAAAUCAAAGGGUUCCCUUCGAAUCGUACGAGUGAAUAUUUUUUUGUUUUUUUUCCAUUGUUGUCGUCUCUCGUCAGUUGGACCCCCACCUUGCGCUGGAAAAGCCCCCUCUUGCCGUCCCCGUUGCUAGAAAAGCACUUUGUGUUGCAAAGUCACCACCCUCGUGACGUUGUUGAGACCUCGCACCCCACGCCUCAUCUUAUUGUUCCUCGCCAACAGAACCCCCACCACCCUGUAAAGCCGUUGCCAUCUUCACCCUGGAAACCCCAUCCUCUAGGAGAGAAGGAAUUCUUAAAAGGAGAGUUUAUAGAGAGGGGAGAGGAGGGGGGAGAGAGAGAGAAGAAGCGUGCAGUGACAGCACAGAGAUUUUGUAUCAGACGGAGUAGAAAUGAGGGAGGUGAGUUCACUUUUCAAAUAUUAAAUUUAAUUUUCUCAUUCUUGUCUUCAAUAUACGUGUUAUUAUAUUUUGUAUCUUGAUUUUACAAAACAUUAUUCAGUUACAGAAAGAGAAAUGGGAAAAGUUUUAUUAUUAACACAAGUUUCAUUUGUUACAUCUAAUAUAUUUUUUAUACAUGGCUUAUUUUGACUAAAAACUCCCUUGAAACAGUGUAGAGAUAUCUAGCGGUAUUCUUUCUGACUAUCUCAUUCUCCUCGUAACAAAUAACAAUGGCAGGGAACAUGGUCAUCCUUCAAAUGGAGGAGCAGUGGGAAUCAUUCCCGGUUGGUAGUGAUCAUAUGAGAGCCUUGAUUGAUUUAAAAUCCAGAUUUCAUCGACUAGAACUUGAAGUGGAAUCUGAAUCUUCGUUAUCAUCAAGUGUAAAGCUGCAAUGUCCUAAAUUGGAACAUAGAUUUGGUUGAGUUAUCAAUGGUGAUGGGAGGAAUUCUCAGGCAUGCGGUGGUCUCAUUUAAACUUAAAGAAAUGUCCCUCAUGUGACAUGUAAGACUGCGCUUGAUGCGGAUUCCAACGUCCAUCAAUUCCUUCUCAUUUCUAAAUGAUGUCAUAACCUCUCUGACAUCUCUAAUUGAUGCAUAUCUAGCAUACAACCAAUCCAACUAUCCAAUAACGAAGGACCUUCCAAAUUUUUCAUUUUAACGAUGCGUUGGGCUGCUAGAAUGUUCAUCACCUAGGAUAAUUCUUCGGAAGAGAUCGAGUAGACGAUGACAAGGCUUUGACUCGUUCUUAGGACUUUGCGACUUCAAUUUGGGGCCAAUAAUUUUGUUGUAUGGGAAGAACAGGCUGGGGUAAUAAUUCUUCAUUUUUUGCAGCAAGGACUCCCUCGUACCUAUAAAUUCCUGUAAUAUUGACUCGUCGUUAAUGCCGAAGAAUUCCUGGAACACUGGCAUCCAAAAAAAACCCACCGCUCCUGAACUCACCUUCUUCAUCAGCUUCAAAAAAUAAUUUUUAAAUAUAAAGUUAAAUAGAUAACUUAUUCUUAAUCUUAAACAUAUUUUCUUUCAUUUGUCCAUAUUUAAUAAAAACAUAUUUUAUAACUAUGACUUUACAUCCAUAAAUUAUUUUUUUAUACAACAUAUUAUAUAAUUAUGUUAUACAUUUAAAAUACUUUAAACAUAGAUAUUUAACAAAUACAUUUAUAACUUAAGAUGAAUAAAAGUAAAUAUAAGUUUAAAUUAAUGAACAAAUAUUAUUUAAAAUUAAUGAGAAUAAAUACGAUUAAUUUAAUUAUUUAAAAUAAAUUUUAAGUUAAUUUUAUUCAAUAAUCUUAAUAUUUAAAUUUAAAAAUAAGUUUUAAGUCAAUAUUAACUUAAAUUGUUAAGUAAUAGUAAUAAGUUUUACCCAACAUCUUUUUAAUUAUUGAAUUCAUAUUUCUUUUAUCAUUUCUCUUAUCCAAUUAAAAUUAUUAGAAAUCCAUCCAUUUAUGUUUUCUAUUUAAUCUCUUUAGCAAACUCGUCAUGUUUGAGUAGUUAAAUUAAAUCUUAUGUUUCCUCUCUCUUUGGGAUUUGAGAAAAAAAAAUCGAUAAUUUUAAAAAACAUUUAUUAAAAUAUGAUAGUUUUAAAAAUAUUUUAAAAUUUAUAAUAGCAAAGCAAAAAUCCAAUUGGAAAUAUUUUUGAAGCACCAUAUUUUAAUAAAUAUUAAAAAAUGGUUUUUUUUUUCCCCUCAAAAUCCCCAUCUUGGCUCUUGAGCAUUGCCCUCCCACUUCUAGUUAAUUUGUAACCACAUGUUUCAAUUUUGUUUAUUGAUGAGACAUUUCAAUAAUAUCCGAAUUGCCUUCACAGGUUUGGACGUUUCUUUGCCUUGUAUCUCGGCUAAGGAUAAUCUAGUUUUUUCUUAUCAUGUAUCACGUAAUGUUAUGGGAAAUUGUCUUAAACAAAAAUAUUGUUCAACAUUUAAUAUCCAUUAGACUUAAUUUCAUUCACCUUCCCUUAGAUUUUUGUUAAUACAUUUUAUUCUUAUAAAUUAAAAUUUCAUCAAAUAUAUAUUUUAUUUCUUUUUAUUUUUUAUUUUCACUCACCUUCUUUCUCAUUUAAAAUAAAUAAAGUAUUUGAUAAAAUUUCAAACUUAUAAAUACCAGAUAAAACUAGUCAAAACCUCAAGAAAAUGAAAUUAACUCAAUCCCAUUGUAAAUUCUCGUAUGAUUAAAUAUUAAGAUGAAUACGACAUAUCUUUAAGAUGAGUAUAAAUAAAUAUAAUAUCAAAUUAUAUAUAAAAAGGAUAGUUUAAAUUAAAUAAUCAAUUUAAUUUUCAAAUAAAAUGAUUAAUGUCAUUUUAACAUAUACGUGAUAUCGACUCCUACAUGUAUGGUUUAAUUUAAUGUUACCCACAUAGCUAUUCCAAAAUUAAAAUUUUUACUUACCCCUACGAUGUUAAGGCGGAGUAAUUGAUCAUACAAUGCAUAAUAAUUAUUUUCUUCAUUAGAUUAAAUAAUACAAAUUACAUAUACGAAUGAGAUUAUUUAGAUGGGAUUUCUAAUUAAUGAUCCAGCUUAGGUGUGAACUUAAAUUAUGUGUUUGUUGGAAACCCUUGUGAUGGAAUAAAAUUUCAUCCUUUUAUACUUGUAUUUAUUUUUUUUGAAGAACAAGUUUGACUUUUCCUUUAUAAUAAACAUUAAGUCUUUUUUUAAAGGGUAAAUAAGACUUUAAUAAUGUUAAUUGUUAAGUGAAGUGUGAACAUCUCCUCCAUGUGAACAACUGGAGCAUCUUUUACCUACAACUUAUAUGUAUUGUCUCGUUGUUCACAUGAAACAAUAAAUAGUGUAAGUCAAAUUCUCAUUACAAAUAUAAAAUUGCAUUAAUUCUCUAUUAUUAUUAAUCUUGGAUAUUGCACCAACAAAAACUGAGAUUAUAAUUAAAUAAAUCCAAAUCAGACAGCACUGAGCCUCUUUGUUGUCAUUUUUUUCAACCUUGGUGCCAAUCAUAAGUCCGGUAUUAAUUUAAUCAUGAUAUGAUCUUGAUUCAUUGAUUACAAUAUAGUUUAUUUGUGGUAGAAUUUUGGGAAAAUUAAUAUAAAAAAUAUGUGAGGAGGAAUCUUUUAUGGAUGGUUCAGGGAGAAGAGGCAAAUGAAGAUGUCCCAGAAAUGAAUUGGUGAUCAAAUAAUCCAAGAAAAAAAGCAUCAAAUCUAUGAUAUGUAUAAUGAAAGAUGUAUUUAAGUAAAUAAAUAAGCUCGUGUUAGGCAUGAACCCUUCCCAAAACCAAGGAGACACGCAUUAGCCUAUUUUAUGUGCUUCACUUGCUGUAUAUUAGUAGGUGUAUGAAUAGAUUAAUCUUUCUGAAGAAAAAAAAAAAAGAAAGAGAAGAAGACUUGAGUGCUCCUUUUUAAAUGACUUUCCCUUUGGAUAUCGUUAUAUCAACAAGGACUAGCUGACAGCAGCCUGUUGCUUACUCGAUUGGAAUUAUGGAGCUUGCAUGCAAUGAGCUGGUGAUUCAUAUUUCACAGGUCUGAUGUGGAUGAACUUUUUUCUUUCUUUUCUUUUAAUAAAUGAUAAGAAUAUCUCACUUAUAAAACAAAAAGAGAAAAUUAGACUAUGCGUGGAAACUAUUCUCAACAAUAAUUUUUUGUUUUUUAAACAUAAAAAAAAAAAUAUGAAAACACAUUUGCCUGUAAUUAUUUCUAAAAUAGGUUACUGAUGAUAUCUUUUAAUUAUUUUUGGUUAAUUUUAUUUUUUAUUUAGAGCUAUUUUUAAAUGUAAUUUUAGAAAUAUGAAAAAUGAUUAAAAUAUAUAAAAGGGUACAUAAAAGAAUAUUUUGAAAACAUAGAAAAUAAAUUGACAAUAUUUAAAAUUACCAAAGAAGCUUUUAUUAUACCAUCGUAAAAUUAUUUUUGAUAAUUAAUCUCAAAAACCAUCUUUUUAUAACUAUUUUGAAAAAUAUUCUCUAAUUAACAAACCUUAUGCUUUUAAGGAGGAUAAGGUAAAAUUUUAAUAAAAAAUAUAAAAUAUGAAUAUUAAUAUUUUAGUAAAGUUAUAAAUUAUAUUUUUUUUAUUAAAAAUAAAUAUUUUUUUUAGAAAAUGAUAAUAGUUAAUAAUAUCUUAUUUAAACUGAAUUAUGAAAAUAAGUAUAAUUUAUUUUUCAAAAUAAGCAAUAAAUUAAUCAAGUUUUGAUCACGUACACAUGUUUAUUCCCUAGUUACAAGUAUUCUGAACCAGUUCAAUCCCACAAAAUUUUUAUAAUAAUUAGCAUAAUUUUUUAGUUUUAAUUUAUUUUUAAAAUAAAAGCAUGGAACUAGAUUGAAUCUUUCUUGGGAAUCCCUAGCAAUGCUGGAGGCUGUGGAGUGGCGGGAAAUCAGGGUCAAUUUCAAUCAAACGUGUAUCUCUUUGCAUGUUUAAAAAAAAAAAAAAAAACCACUUAGUCAUUAAUUGUUACAAGCUGUCCAUAUACUAUUCCACCACUUAUCCUGACGGAAUACUUAAAUUAAAUCCUACGUCAUCAUGUUCAACAUGUCUCUACCACUUUCUAAUUGGUAGCCACAAGUUUUCAAUUCCAUUUAUUAAUAAUAAAUUGAAAACAAAAUCAAACUUUCAAAUACUCGCAACAACGUAUGUGAUUUUUUUUCAUCAAAUAAAUCCAUAAAAAGAAUAGUCUCAUUACUAUUAUUUUUUAUUAAAAGAAAAAAAAAAUUCUCGAUAAAAAAUUCAAUUAACUAUUUUCUGGACACCCAAAGCGUUACACCAAGGGGAAAAGAAAAGGAUCAUACAAGUUAAAGUUAAUUAAUUUGACAAAAAAAAAUCAAAUUUGUUUCAUCAUCUCCCAUUAUUAUUUCUAGGAAGAUGUGGUGUGGUGUGACGUAGAACUAAUUAGCUCUUAACAAACAAAUUGAGCAAAAAAUAAUAUCCAAAUUAUGUCCUAUAUAUACCAGUUUAGGCUAGGGGUGUAUAGAGUAGAGAGAUAUCUAGUAGUACUCCCUCUGCCUAUCUCAUUCUCCUCCUAAGUCCUAACAAAUAACAAUGGCCGGGAACGAGGUGGUCCUUCAAAUGGAGGAGCACCGGAAAGUAGUCGCUGAUCAGUUUGGAAAACCUGCGGAUGGCAGUGAUCAUAUGAAAGCCUUGGCUGACUUAAAAUCCAAAUUUCGUCGACUAGAAAAUGAAGAGGAAUCUGAAUCUCCAUUAUCAUCAAGUGUAAAGCCACAACGUCCCUUAUCAUCAAGUGUAAAGCCACAAUGUCCCAUGGUUCCAAAGAGGUUGCGACCAGAUGUCAAGGGUGCUGAAGACUACUACUAUGCGCCAAAACUCAUUUCUUUGGGUCCUUACCACCAUGGCAAGCCCCACCUCAAGGAUGGAGAAACGCUCAAGCUUAAAUUGGCAGAAGCCUACAUCCAAGAAUGUGAGCCAACAGUGGAUGAAAUUUACAACACAAUUAGCGAUAGCAUUAGUGAGCUGAGGGGCUGUUAUGAUGCGGAGUCGACAAAGAAAUAUAAGGAUGACGAAUUAACCAUCAUGAUGCUGGUGGACGGGUGUGCUCUACUCUGUUACAUUUUAUGCGUUUGCUUAGGUUAUGGCCAUGAAGAUUUCAAUAUCAGAUAUCAGGAUAUAAGCCUUCUGCACCAGGAUGCGUUGCUGCUGGAAAACCAACUUCCCUAUCAAUUACUCCUUGAGCUGAUGAAGAUGGUGGACCCAGGAUCAGCCAAUGAUUUUUGGACGGCCAUGUUCCAGGAAUUCUUCGGCAUCAGCGACGAGUCAAUAUUUCAGGAAUUUAUCGGUAUGAAGAAGAAGGAGUCAUUCCUGCAAAAAAUGAAGAAUUAUUGCCCCCGCCUAUUCCUCCCAAUCAACCAAAUUAUUGACCCCAAAUCGAAGCCGCAAAGUCCUAAUAACGAGUCAAAGCCUUGUCAUCAUCUCCUCGAUCUCUUCCGAAGAAAUUUCCUAGGCGAUGAACGUUCCGGCAGCCCAACGCACCCAGAAAAUGAAAAUUUGGAAGGUCCUUCGUCAUCGGAAACUGAAAUUGGCCGGAGGCUGGGUAGAGCAUCAGUUAGAGAUGUGAAGGAGGUUAUGGCAUCAUUUAGAAAUGUGAAGGAGCUGAUGGACGCUGGAAUCCGCAUCAAGCGCAGUCCUACACGUCACUUGAGGGACAUUUCUUUCCGUUCAAAUGGGAUCACCGCAUGCCUGAGAAUUCCUCCCAUCACCAUUGAUAACUCAACCAAGGCUAUGUUCUUGAACUUGAUAGCCUAUGAAAUGAGCUCAGACGUCGACCAUGACUUCAUCUCUUACCUUCGCUUCCUUGAUUCCCUCAUUGAUCAUGCUGAUGACGUUAAGGAGCUGCAGUCCAUCGGGAUACUCCAAAACAAUCUAGGAACCCACGACGAAGUAGCUCAAUUCUUCAACACCGUGUCCGCCAACUUGGAAUCCAACUUUCAUGCUUACAAAGACGUGAGAGUGAAAAUUCGGAAGCACCUUCAGAGUCACUAUAACAGCAAACUGACAAUGUGGAUGACACAAUGCCUGGACACCUAUUUCGGUAGCCCCUGGACUAUCAUAGCUUGGGUUGGUGCAGCUUUGGCCCUAUUCCUUACUUUCGUCCAGACUUACUUCUCAGUCUUCCCUCAUUGAUGCAUGCCUGCCCUCUUUUCAACUAUCACCGUCUCAAUUAAGGUAAUAUCCACUCCAAAUUUCCUUGUUCUUCUUGCUAUCUGCAUUUUACCUAGUCCAUGUAAAUUAAGCAAAGACUCAUUGGCUUCAUGCGCUUUUGACCUUACCUAUUUUGUGUUUUUGGUUUCAGCCUAUUUUCUACAUUGCUUUCCGUGCUUAAAUUAAGUAACGAAUGAAUAUGUAGUGUGACCUUAGUUUGGUGAUUUUGUGCUUUCGCAAGCAUGUGCUAUGCUUAUAUAUAUGCAUCAUCAGCAAUAUUAUGUUUGAUUUAAGUACGUAAAUAAAGAUAGAUAUAGGUGGAAUAUUUUUUUUUCUAUGUUUAUAUUCCUGUUAAUGUAUUAUAUAUAUGUUAGGUCUGGCAAUUUUUUAUCUCAUACCAUUUUUAAUUAAAUCAUUUUUAAACUAUAGUUACUAAGCCAAAAAUUAUAAUGCUCUAGAAAUAUAAUCAAUCUCAUUGUCGAAUUUUUCUAAACUAAUCUCAGAAUAAGCUCGAUAUCUCUAACAAUAUAUUAUUUAAGGCACAUAAUAUUCCAAAAAAAAUUCUGCAAAAGAAAAAGAAAUUUGUUGAGAAGUGGUUUAUUUUAGUUGAUCUCUUAUUAUAUUUAGGAAUAUGGACAAAAUGUUAUAUUUAGGAAUAUGAACAAAACAACAUUUUGUCCGAUAGAAAUUUACCCAUCAAUAUGAAUGGAUAGAAAUUUACCCAUCAACAUGAAUGGUAUGGAAAUUUGACUAAUGCUUGUAAGAUCGGAUUUGUAAAUAUUUGUGGGUGAGUUUCUUUUGACAACCGAUGGACAAAUUCAUGUCAUGUAAGACUUAUUUGACAACAUUCUAAAAUAAUGUUGCUAAAAAUAUUUAAGAAUAGUUCUGAAAAUAUGUUUUACCUGUUUUUAGGAAUAAAAUUCUAACUUAUUUUGAGAAUAUUCUUAAAAAAAAAAGAAAAAAAAAAAGAGAGAAUGUUGUUAAAACUUGUUAAGAAUAUUUUUAAAAAUAUGUUUUAUUUGUUUUUAGGAAUAAAAUUCCAUUUAAGAAGCCUAGUCCUUCGCAAAGGCAUGUGCCACCAUCUAUAAUGGAAGAAGUUCACACCUAUUUUUCAUUUUUUUUUUGUUCUUUUUUUAAAACACUUGCAUAGCUUCUGGAUUAAAGUUCUUAAAGAUUAUUUUCAAAAUUUGAUGUAAUAAUUUAAAAAAAAAUUACUAUAAAUAUAUAUAUAUAUAUAUAGAGUUACUAUUAUUUUUAAUUUUACAAAAUAAAAAACAAAAAAUGUACCUAAAGGAUACCUUAAUUUCAACUUAUUAACUAUAUGUAAAAUUAAAAGUAUUUUUCUCCUUUUCAACUUGUUACAUACUUCAGUGCUUGUAUAUUGCUUCCAUACCAUAUGAUAAGAUGUGGCUAAAAUUGAUCUUCAUGUCAAGAAUUGGAAGCCUUCAAUAUGUUGUAAUUGCUUAAAAGAUUUCGCUUUGAGUUAUGUUUCUUGUGGGGUGAUGGCAAAGAAAACCAACAAAUUAAUAGAAAAACUAUAAAUAUAAUUCAGAAUUAAGGAAAAAAGAAAUACAAUAUUGAAGGUGCAGUAGAAUAAAAAGGAGUGUGGGCAUGAAUGAUAUGUAAAAACUCACCCAAUAGAAUCCUUUAUGAAGUAAAUAUUUUCAUAUCAUACGAUCCAAUGUUAAUCCUUCAUAACCUAUGGAACUGUAGAACCUUGAGAGGAAAAAAGCCACUCACAAAUUAUGACACAAACAGAAACUAGGAACAGUGGAAGAAAAUUGAAAAACUGAUCUCCCUUUCCGAGUCCAGCAACAAAAUUAGUGUCCAACCUUAAAAUGGGCAUGUGUGGUAUUGACGAGAGAUGCUAAGAUGGAAAUCAUAACCAUAGUCAUGUUCUCUCUGUGUCUUUGUGUCUUUCUAACCCACUUUUUUUAAGAAAAUAAUAGACCAAGACUAUAAUUAUCAAUUAUGACUUUAUUGUUUAAUUUAUAUUCUUUAACAAUUUUUUUAUUUUUUUAAGAAUAAUUUGUUUUACUAUAAUGGUAGGUGAUGAAUUUAUUUUCUUAAUAAAAGGCCUCCCAAUAAGGCAAUAGUUUCAUGUUUUUUUUUUAUCCUCUGCUUUUGUUGCAACUCUUCUGCUUCCGACCUUUCAUUAACCUAAAUAUUAGAAGUUUCUAAUUCAGUCCAUUGCACUCCAGUUGUCUAAAUACGGAAGCUUCUUCCACGACCCAGUUGCACUUUGGAAAGUUAAGCUUAAGAUUUACGAAGUUUCUGAAAAUUACAGUUUAUUUAGUUUCUAAAAUCCAAUUAGCUAGAUAUUUUAUUUGAUUUCUUUUUAUAUUUAAGUAGUUGAGUUUUGGAAAGUUUUUAUAUUUUAUUAAUAGAAAAAAAAAAUUUAUAUUUUUUAUUAUUAGGAAUUUCUAUUUUGUUAAAUUGUAAGUAUCUAUCUCAAUAAGAGAUUAUUAAUAUUCGAAUGAAAGUGAUGAAAGAUAGUAAAUAUUUUAAUGCUCCUCAAUUAUAUUUUAAUGUUAUUUUUUUACAUGAGGGUUAAUUCAAUUUUAAUUUCAACAUGUAAUAUGUUAAAAAUAUUAUAAAAUAGAACUAUAAAGGAGUAUUUACUUAUUUUAUAAUAUUUUCAAUCUACAAUUUUCAAAAAUCAAUAUUUAAAAAAGGUAUUAAAACAUCCCUUCUCUUCAAUAUAAAAGCAUUAUUGUAACAUAUUGUGGACCCCGCAUUUUGCCCAAUGCGUUCCCACUCGAUGACAAAACUCGCUUUCUAUUUAUUUUGUGAAAAAUAUGAUUUUUUUCAAAAGACUUAGAGUCGCCACUUAUUUUUGUUUUAUUUUUAAAGGAAAAACAAAAUAAGAAAGAAAAACCCUAAAUGUGAUUCCUUAUUUGGAAAAAAUAGGUCUGUGAAAAAUCACGUCGGGUCCGAGGGUCAGGUUACUUAUUGGAAAAGUACGGUGGUGAGCCAUAACACCCCUCUAAGUCCAUAAAAACGGGUCUCUACUAAUAAAAUGAAGCAAACAUGACAAUUGGUAAGGAAAUCAAUGGAUACAAAAGUGAUCACAAAUUAAAAGUAAUCAUGAUAAUGAAUAAAUGAACGAAGUGAGAGCGAGAGUGUACCUUGGCAGCAGGUAAUAAAGCGUUAUUAUGAAACAAAGUUAGUGCACAAUAACAAAUACAAAAUAUAUCACAUGCAUGUCAAAUAUUAGAACAAAAAAAAAAAAAAUAUUCAUUAGGCAUAGCAAUUAACAAUCAGAAGAGAAAUCUCAUAUGUAGGGUCCCCCACCAAAGCCCAAUUUAUCUUGCAUGCAUUGGUCUCACAAAUUUUAUUAUUUCGAAAUUAUGAAAAAUUCAUUCUUACUUAUGAAAAAUCAAAAGAAACAGAAGAUUAUUUGAAAACCGGAGUGGAAUUAAAACUGUUCAAAAUUUGUUUGAAAAUUGGAGUCUCGAAAAUUAUUUGAAAAUUGGAGUCUUGGGAAUUAAAUUUAAGAAUUGGAAUUUUGGAAAUUAAAUUUGAAAGAAAUUGGAAUUUUUUAAAAUUAUUUAAGAAUUAGAGUUUUUAAAAUUAUAUUAAGGAAUUGGAACUUUAGAAAUUAAAUUUGAAAGAAAUUAGCAAAUUAUUUGAGAAUUAGAGUUAUGAAAAUUAAAUUAUGAAAAUUGGAAUCUUGGAAAUUAUUUGAAGAUGGAAAAAAUAAACAAAAUAAUAAUAGUAAUAAUAAAUAAAUAAAUAAAUAAAUGUGAAAAUUGGAAUUUCGGAAAUUGGAAAUUAAAUUCGGAAAUUGAAAAAUUGGAAUUUCAAAAAUUGAGAAUUAAAAUUGAAAAUCAGAAUUUUGAAGAAUUAUUUACAAAUGGAAUUUUAAAAAUAAAUUAAUUAAUUAAAUAAUGAUAAUAACGAAGAUAACAAUGAUUAAAUAAAUAAAUUUGAAAAUUAGAAUUUUGGAAAUUGGAAAUUAAAUUCGAAAAUUAGAAAAUUGGAAUUUAGGAAAUUCGGAAUUGAAUUUGGAAAUCGGAAUUUUGAAGAAUUAUUUAAAAAUAGAAUUUUAAAAAUAAAUUAAAUAAUGAUAAUAACGAAUAUGAUAAUGAUUAAAUAAAUAAAUAUGAAAAUUAGAAUUUUAGAAAUUGGAAAUUAAAUUCGGAAAAUUGUAAUUUAGGAAAUUGGAAAUUGAAUUUGGGAAUCGAAAUUUUGAAGAAUUAUUUAAAGAUGAAAUUUUAAAAAUAAAUAAAUUAAUUAAUUAAAUAAUGAUAAUAACGAAGAUAGCAAUGAUUAAAUAAAUAAAUUUGAAAAUUAGAAUUUUGGAAAUUGGAAAUUAAAUUCGGAAAUUGAAAAAUUGGAAUUUUGGAAAUUGGGAAUUGAAUUUGGAAAUCGGAAUUUUGAAGAAUUAUUUAAAGAUGAAAUUUUUGAAAACUUGAUUUAAAAGGAGAUGGAGUUUCAAAAAUUUAUUUGAAGGUGUCAUUUUAAAAAUUAAAUUUAGAAUUGUGGAAUUUUUGGAAGAUUAAAAUUAAAAUUUUGAAUUUGGGAAAAUUAAAUUUAAAGUUAGAGUUUUAGAAAAUUAUUUCAAGAAUUGAAUUUUGAAGAAUUAAAUUUAAAAUAUUGAAGUUUUGGAAAAUUGAACUUAAGAUCUGAAAUUUCGUAAACUAAAUUUAAAAAUCAAAUUUUACAAGAUUAUUUCGAAAAGGGUACUUAUAUAUAUAUAUAUAUAUAUAUAUUAAUAAAAUAAUAAAUAAAUAGAUAAAUAAAAAUAAAUAAAUAAAGCAAAUAAAAUGAAUGAAUAAAUGAAUAAAUUUGAAACUUUGGGAUUUUAGAAGAAUUAUUUGAUAACAGAAUUUAAAAAAAAAAUGAAAUUUUUAACAUGAAAAGUGGAAUUACGAAGAUGGCACGUGAAAGAAAAGAUAAAAAACUAAUAAUAAUUCACCAUGAGGCCACUGGACCCAUGCCACUAAUAAAAAAAAAACUCAUGCCUUUGACUUUUCAUUCACCAAUUGUUUAAACAAUUUCCUACUGUCAAUGAACCACCAAGAAGUGGAGUAAUGAAGCCCCACUUCUCCACGAAAAAAAAAAAAACACCAGUAUGUAUCUGACUAGUGAUGACAAACUGUGGUGGCGAACAAGGAUAGAAGACGAUGUAGAGUUUGGAAGGCCCCAAAUCACCACUUGGGAGACUUUGAAGAAGGAAUUGAAGGAUCAGUUCCUUCCCACCAACAUUGCUUGGGUGGCCAAAGAAGCGUUGAAAAGGGUCAAACACACCGGAUCUGUAAGGGACUACGUCAAGGAAUUCAGUUCCUUGAUGCUGGACAUAAAGAACAUGUCAGAUGAGGACAAGCUCUUCAAUUUCAUGUCUAGAUUGCAAGGGUGGGCUCAAACGGAACUUAGGAGGCAAGAGAUUCGUGAUCUCCCUGUUGCCAUGGUUGCAGCAGAUUGCCUGGUGGACUACAAGAUGGGUGGCGCCAUCUCCACCAUGUAGAGACCUAAGUCAGAAGGAGGUAAGAAGGCUAAGGUUGAGGGCAAGACUUCUAAGAAAUCUGGGUGGAAGAAACAGAACAAGAAGCCUGUUGUAGAGGGAAAACCAGUGGAAAAGACCAUAAAGUUUGUGCAGCAGACCACCCGGAUGGUAGGAUGUUUCAUCUGCAAUGGCCCUCAUCGAGCCAGAGACUGCCCCAAAAGAAAGAAACUCUCAGCCCUUGUGACUGUAGACGACAAGGGAGAGUCUGACUUAGAGACUCCUCUUAGAGUCAACCCACUGCAACUCCUGAACGUGAUUAAUGGUGAGACUCCAGUCCAUAAGUCCCUAAUGCAUGUCCAUGCAGUUGUAAAUGGUGUGCAGGUGAAGGCCUUGGUGGACAGUAGUGCCACGCACAACUUCGUGGCCACCAGAGAAGCAACCAGGUUGGGAUUGAAGUUGGAAGAGGAUACUAAUUAGAUCAAGGCAGUCAAUAGCAAAGCCCAGAAAAUCCAAGGGGUAGCAAAGAAUGUCCCCAUGCAAAUUAGUGACCGGAAGGGCACAUGCAACCUACUUUGUGUACCCUUGGACGACUUCAACUUGAUCAUCGGUGUAGAUUUCCUCUUGAGGGCUAAGGUGGCCUUGAUCCCACAUCUUGGUGGGCUGGUGGUGUUAGAAGAAAAGCAGUCUUAUUUCAUGAAGGCCUUGAGGGUGAAGGAUGGUGGCAAGGGUUAACAUGAGAUGCUGUCUACUAUCCAUUUGAAGAAGGGAUUGAAGAGGGGUCAGGAGACUUAUGUUACAACCUUGAUCGAGAUCAAGGAGAGAUAGUCUGUGGAAGUCCCUGAUUCAGUGGUCAAAAUCCUUAAGGAGUUCAGAGAUGUGAUGUCUGCAGAACUCCCCAAAGAAAUGCCACCUAGGCGGCCUAUUGACCACAAGAUUGAAUUGCUACCUGGAACAAAGGCCCCGGCUUAAGCUCCUUACAGGAUGCCUCCUGCGGAGUUGUUGGUGUUACGUAAGUAAUUGAAGGAACUGUUGGAUGCAGGCCUGAUCCAGCCCUCAAGGGCCCCAUAUGGUGCACCAAUGAUGUUCCAAAAGAAGCAUGAUGGCUCUCUCCGCAUGUGUGUAGAUUAUAGAGCUCUCAACAAGGUGACCAUCAAGAACAAGUACCCGAUCCCCUUGGCUGCCGAGCUGUUUGACAGAUUGUCAAAAGCCUCUUACUUCACCAAGUUGGACCUAAGAUCGACUACUGGCAAGUGCGAAUUGCAGUAAGAGAUGAGAAGAAUACCACCUGUGUAACUCGGUAUGGAUCAUACGAGUUUCUGGUAAUGCCAUUUNNNNNNNNNNNNNNNNNNNNNNNNNNNNNNNNNNNNNNNNNNNNNNNNNNNNNNNNNNNNNNNNNNNNNNNNNNNNNNNNNNNNNNNNNNNNNNNNNNNNUAAUGCCCCUGCUACAUUCUGCAAUUUGAUGAAUGAUGUUCUGUUUGAUUACUUAGAUGCAUUUGUGGUAGUGUAUCUAGAUGAUAUUGUGGUUUACAGUAAGACUCUAACAGAACAUGAGAAACACUUGAGAUUGGUGUUUCAGAGAUUGAGGGAGAACAUGCUUUAUGUAAAGCCAAAGAAAUGUGAGUUUGCUCAGGAGGAUAUCACAUUUCUAGGACACAAGAUCAGUGCAGGUCUGAUCAAGAUGGAUAAAGGCAAGGUGCAGGCUAUUAUGGAGUGGCCAGUCCUUAGCAAAGUGACUGAGUUGCGGUCCUUCCUUGGCUUGGCCAAUUACUACAGAAGGUUCAUUAAGGGGCAUUCAAAGAGGGUGUCUCCCCUUACUGACCUAUUGAAGAAGGACAACCAGUGGAGUGGAGCAUGUAGUGUCAGAUGGCCUUUGAAGGCUUGAAGGAAGCCAUCUCCACUGAGCUUGUGCUACGUUUGCCAGACUUAGACUUACCCUUUGAAGUCCAGACAAAUGCCUCAAAUAGAGCUUUGGGUGGAGUCUUGGUGCAAGAAGGGCACCCUAUGGCAUUUGAAAGUAGGAAGUUGAAUAAUGUUGAGCAGAGGUACUCCACUCAUGAGAAGGGGAUGAUAAUUGUGGUUCACUGCCUGCAGCAGUGGAGACACUACUUAUUGGGAAGCAUUUUUACAGUGGUCACUGAUAAUGUGGCCAACACCUUCUUCAAAACUCAAAAGAAGCUGAGUCCCAGACAAACACGAUGGUAGGAGUUCCUGGCCAACUUCAAAUUUGAAUGGCUGCAUCGACCAGGAAGACAUAACACUGUGGCUGAUGGCUUCAGUAGGAAAGAGGUGAUUGCCUACAUCAUGGCCCUCUCAGAAGUCAUCUUUGACUUCAAUAAGAAAAUCAAGCAAGUUGCAGAGUAGGAUGCUGCAUAUGGCAGGUUGAAGCGGCAAGUUAAGGAGGGUGUGAUAAGGAGGUAUUGGCUAGAGGGAGACCUCCUUGUGGCAAAAAGAGGAAGAUGGUAUGUUCCUGCAGGCGGCCUGAGAAAUGAAUUAUUGCAGAAAACUCAUGACGCAAAGUGGGCAGGUCAUUCCGGUGAAGAGAAGACUCUGGCACUGCUAGCCAUAUCCUACUAUUGACCUAAGAUGGGUGAGGAUGUCCAGGCAUAUGUGAAAUCCUAUCUGGUUUGUCAGAUGGACAAGACCAAGAUGAAGAAGGUUGUAGGGUUGCUACAACCCCUCUCCAUUCCAGAGAAACCUUAGGAGAGCAUUUCCAUGGAUUUCAUCACUGGAUUUCCAAAGGUUUGUGACUUUAAAUCUAUCUUUGUUGUUGUAGAUAGAUUCUUUAAGUAUGUUGUGUUUAUACCUGCCUCUGAUGCUUGCUCUACGGAGGAAGCGACUAAGUUGUUUUUCAGUAAUGUUGUCAAGCACUUUGGGUUGCCUAGGGACAUAGUCAAUGAUCGAGAUGCACGGUUCAUAGGCCGAUUUUGGGUUGAGUUGUUCAAACUCUUGGGUUCAUAGUUGAAGUUUUCUACAGCCAACUACCCUCAUACUGUCGGUACUCGCACGGAUUCUACCAUUUCCCGGUAUUCGCCGGGAUUUUACGAUUUUUCGUUAUUCGCUCGGAUUCUACCAUUUUCAUUUAGUCACACUGAUUCAACCCUUUUCCGGUACUCGCCCGAACAGUUUUUCGGUACUCGCACGGAUUCUACCAUUUCCCGGUAUUCGUUGGGAUUUUACGAUUUUUCGGUAUUCGCCCGGAUUCUACCAUUUUCAUUCAGUCACACUGAUUCAACCCUUUUCCGAUACUCGCCCGGAGAGUUUUUCGGUAUUCGCACGGAUUCUACCAUUUCCCGGUAUUCGCCGGGAUUUUACGAUUUUUCGGUAUUCGCUCGGAUUCUACCAUUGUCAUUUAGUCACACUGAUUGAACCCUUAUCCGGUACUCGCCUGGAGAGUUUUUCGAUACUCGCACGGAUUCUACCAUUUCCCAGUAUUCGGUUGGAUUUUACGAUUUUUCGGUAUUCGCUCGGAUUCUACCAUUUUCAUUUAGUCACACUGAUUCAACCCUUUUUCGGUACUCGCCCGAACAGUUUUUCAGUAGUCGCACGGAUUCUACCAUUUCCUGGUAUUCGUUGGGAUUUUACGAUUUUUCGGUAUUCGCUCGGAUUCUACCAUUGUCAUUUAGUCACACUGAUUGAACCCUUAUCCGGUACUCGCCUGAAGAGUUUUUCGAUACUCGCACGGAUUCUACCAUUUCCCGGUAUUCGGUUGGAUUUUACNNNNNNNNNNNNNNNNNNNNNNNNNNNNNNNNNNNNNNNNNNNNNNNNNNNNNNNNNNNNNNNNNNNNNNNNNNNNNNNNNNNNNNNNNNNNNNNNNNNNCAUGACGCAAAGUGGGCAGGUCAUUCCGGUGAAGAGAAGACUCUGGCACUGCUAGCCAUAUCCUACUAUUGACCUAAGAUGGGUGAGGAUGUCCAGGCAUAUGUGAAAUCCUAUCUGGUUUGUCAGAUGGACAAGACCAAGAUGAAGAAGGUUGUAGGGUUGCUACAACCCCUCUCCAUUCCAGAGAAACCUUAGGAGAGCAUUUCCAUGGAUUUCAUCACUGGAUUUCCAAAGGUUUGUGACUUUAAAUCUAUCUUUGUUGUUGUAGAUAGAUUCUUUAAGUAUGUUGUGUUUAUACCUGCCUCUGAUGCUUGCUCUACGGAGGAAGCGACUAAGUUGUUUUUCAGUAAUGUUGUCAAGCACUUUGGGUUGCCUAGGGACAUAGUCAAUGAUCGAGAUGCACGGUUCAUAGGCCGAUUUUGGGUUGAGUUGUUCAAACUCUUGGGUUCAUAGUUGAAGUUUUCUACAGCCAACUACCCUCAUACUGAUGGGCAGACUGAGAGAAUCAACGCCUUGCUGGAAGAAUACCUCAAGCAUUAUGUGACAGCAAUACAAAAGAAUUGGGUGGAUUUGUUAGAUACUGCCUAGUUGUGUUAUAAUCUGCAGAGGAGCUCAACAACAAGGAUGAGUCCCUUUGAGCUGGCUAUUGGGGUACAGCCACAGAUGCCUUUGGAGGUAGCUAAGCAAAAAGCAGAAGGAGGUAGUCCUGCAGCUUACAAGAUGGCUCAAUCCCGGCAUGAGAUGUUUGAUGAAGCCCGGGACAGUCUAGAGAAGGCAGUUAGAUGAAUGAAGAAGUAUGCGGAUCAUGACCGCAAAUCCUUGGAAUUUUAGGUUGGGGACAAGGUCCUCUUGAAAUUGACUCAUAAGAUAUGGAAGAAAAUCAGUAGCAAGACAAGGCAGAGGAGUCUAAUUCCUAAGUAUGAUGGACCAUUCGAGGUGAUAAAACGAGUUGGGCAGAUGACCUACAUGUUGAAGCUGCCUGAGAGGCUCAAGCUUCACCUAACUUUCCAUGUUAGCUUUCUAAAUCUUUACCAUGAGGAUCUGGAUGUAGAGAGAGUGCAAAUAAAGCGGGCCCUUCUCUUGGUCAUGAAGCAGUUUGAUCGAGAGAUAGAGAAAAUCUUAAAUCAUAGGACCAUGGGACAUAGCAGAAAGAACCGACGAACUGAUUUCUUGGUUUAGUGGAAGUGGACUUCAAAAGUAGAAGCUACAUGGGAGAGGAAUGUUACCUUAUGGCAAUUUGAGACGGCGGUCCAAACAUAUUGGUAGACUAAGUCGACGAGGGUGUCAACUUCAAUAGGCGGGGGUGGGUUUGUCAGCCCCUUAACCACUUGACUCUACCAUGGAGGAAAAGGCCUCAUGGGUAAACCUUGCACCCAUGAGAGCCUAGACGGAGAAAGCAAGGAAGACUUAGAGGUUUGGUGGUUCAAACUCCAAGAGCUAAGUGAGAAGGCCAUGUGUGAGCUAGACACGCACCGUGGACGAGCCUGACGCACACCGUGCGUGCAUCGCGAGCGAGUCAAACAAGCACCGCGUGCGCAUUAGAUGGGCACCGCGUGCACACUAGAUGGGCAUCGCGCGCGCACCAAUCUUAGGUAGUGCAGAUGAAGGCUGAAGGCUACUUUUGGAAUUUAAUUUAUAUUUAUUUAAUAUUCCAUUAUGUCUCAUCAGGCAUAUUAAUGUCUCCUCCAGAAACAAUGAAAACGACUUGUAUUACUCUUUAGGGGGGGGGGGGGGGGGGGGGGGGGGGGGGGGAGGAGGUAAGCAACUCAAAAAGGGAAGCACCAAGGGAAAGCCUUGACCGCACCAAGAGGGCACCAUGACACGACCUUGGGCGUGCCUAGGACACACGGAUAGGACUCGAGCACGCACACAUGGGCUCCACGACAUGUGUGGUGUGCACCACGUGGCCACAACGGCACGGGGCCUGGUGCGGCCUACCUCCUCCUCGUGUAGGCAUGAGGACGCCUAAACCUUGUGCAGUGAGCCAGUUGAGGAAGUCAUGGGCGCAAUACCAUGGCUUGAUGGGGCAUUAAACAACAAUUGACUAGCACCCAUGAUGCCUACGUACAGCACAAGGGCGCAAUGCCCUGUGCACUAAGAGGGAUCAGUCAUGAACGCAAUGUCAUGGCUCGUUGCUAUGAAGUUGGACCUCACAUUGGAAGCAAGCAACAUGCCCAAGCCAUGGGCACCUAAACAUGACAUGGGCUCACAUAUCAGUGUGGGGAAGACACACUGAUGCACCAGACACUUGGUCAGCUGGUUGGUGCACGUUGCCUAGUUCUGAAGGCCUUGAUCAAAGACACGCUGGUGGGCACCAGGUCAUAAGAGGCACCUUGCGGGAAAGGAGGCAACUUGUUAAGGGGACUCUUCAGCAGCUUGGUGAGAAAGGCUUGAGGAGAUGGCAAUGCAACAAGCUAGUGGCAGCUAGUUGGGAUAGCAAGUGAUCAAGUCAAGCAGCCAAUUGACUUGCAGUUGGCUGAGGUGUUGAUGGCUGGUGCAAGUGGGUGGUUCACGAGCAGGCCACUAUCUGGGUGGUGGGUGGUUAUGCAGGACAGUUAUGGGCGCAUUUGGCCAAUUGCAUAACCACUAGAUUGGCUUCAACUUUUAAAUUUGGUAAUUCAAAAAUGUAACUGCAGAAUGAGUCUUUUAAAAGGGCUCCUGCAUCCUUGAAAUAGAGAGUGAGAGAUUGGGAUAGGGUUCUCUUAAUGCUUGGGGUGUGAAGUAUUGUACUAUGACUCAGGGGAAACAAUUUUGUCUUGUAGAGUGAAUUAAUACAAGUUGGGAAAGGUUUCCUGUAAAUCGUUGGUGUCCCUGUUACUGUGCUUUUACUUUGCUUUUACUCUAUUUUUGAAAAGGCUGGGAAGGAAGGUUGGCUAAGGAAGGGUCCUUAGCACCGCACACUCGUGAAAAAUUUAGUGUGAUCUUCAGGGGGGUGUAACAGUGAGUAUAGUGUCGGGUUUGAGCAUCUCCAAGCAUUUCAAUAUGGUUCAAAUGGCUCUCAAACAUCCAGAAAUUCCCAACAGUAUGAAAAAUGGCUCUCAUGGUGCUCUCCCAGAAACACCUCCACCCAAGAUGGCCAACCUCAAACGUAAUGCCCAACACUCUAAAAUAUACCAAAAGCAGAGGAGAAAGUAAACAAAAGCAAAGCAUGCACAAACGUAAAUGAUACCGUUAAACCUAGCUCCAUUUCAUAAAGAUCAAUGGGCUGGAUAUAGGCGGAACCAAAAGAAAGCAAGAACGUGAUCUUCAAAACCUUAUUCAAGCAUCAAGAUGAACCCAAAAUUGGCGGGAAAUGAAAUAGAACAAACCGAAAUGGGAAAUGCAAAGCAUGCUAAAAUCAUACCUGACCAAAACGACAGGCUUUUCCUCUGCUCAAACUCGGAAUGUCCCUUUCUCCUAUCUUUCUUAGCUAGCUCUGCUACCCUUCCUCCAUGUCUCCUAUCAGCUGGGUUUUUCUUAUUUUCUCAGCCCGCUUCAUAACCACCAGAAAAACGAAAAAAAAUCUCUUCUUACCUCCUUCCAGCUUACUUCUCCUCCAAGCUAUAUCCAUAUCCCAUCUCAUUUGGCAACCCAAUAGCUCACCCAUCAGUCCUCUUUGGCUGCCCCAAAAACAGCUCACUUCUAAGGUAGUCAGAAAAAGAAAAAAAGAAGAAAGAAGGAAAAAAAAAAUGCUUCCAUCCGAGGGGGUCUACACAUAUACAUUUUGUUCUAAUUUUCUAAUAGUUGUGCACAGUUGAAGGGAAAACAAUUUGAUUUUCUAAUUAAUAUUACUUUUAUAAAUACUUUAAUUACUUUUAUAAAAUUGAUUCAUAAUGAUUUUAUUAUUUCUUUGGAACUCAUAAAAUAAAUCUAAUUACGACAGAAAAAGAAAAAGAGAAAAGUGAGUUUUGAUCACUAAUUUGAAAAAUACAAAAAUAAAAAACUUCAGCUUUUAUAAAUCAUUUGUAUCUUCAUUUAUUUAAAAUUAUUUUAAAAUACAUGCACUUUUUUAUAACUCAAAUAAUUAUUUCCUAAAAUGACCUUAUUAUUUAUGAUGUUAAUAAUAUCAUUUUUUUUUAACCAUGAGAACCUAUUUGAGAUUAAUAAAAUGAGAAAUUUUAAAAAUUUUAAAUACAAUUAAAACUAAAAAAACUUUAAAGUUAAAAAUAUAAAAAUAAAAUAUUAUAUUUUUUUAUUAUAUUUUUGGUUUUUAAUUGUAUUUAAUUUUUAUGUAUUUUAGUUUUAAUUAUAUUUUUAAAUUUUAUAAAUUUCUUAUGUUAUCCUUAAUUGAUGUCAACUAAUAAAAUUUAUAUUCAAUUUUAUUUAUUUUUUUUAAAUGAGAAGAUGUGGGGGUUUAUCUAAUACAAAACAUAAAAUCAUAUUAACUAGGGGAUUAACAAGAUUUUAUUUAUUACUUGAUGAUGUUGGAAAAUUUUUCCACGAUGAUUUGUAUCUUAUGUUAUAUAAUAAAAUUUUAUAAUAUAUUUAUUUAUAAAAUAUUUUUAUCAAAUUAAAAUAAUAAAUUUGGAUAAAUUCAUUUAAUAUUAUCAAAUAAAAAUGUAUUUUAGGAAAUAAUUAUUUAACUUAUGAAAAAGUGUAUAUAUUUUAAAAAAAAUUAAAUGGAUAAAGAUAAAAUUGAUUUAUAAAAUUUAAUUUUUUUUUUCUAUAUUUUUUCAAAUUAGGUUAAAACCCACUUUUUCUCAAAAAAAUAAUAGACCAAAUCUAUAAUUAUCAAUUACAAACCUACAAUUAUCAAUUAUGACUUUAUUGUUUAAUUUAUAUUCUUUAACGAAUUUUUAAAAUUUUUAAGAAUAAUUUGUAAUUCAAAAAAUUGGUCCAUUUAAUUACAAAUUAAAUAAAAAAUUCCAUAAUAUGUUGUUAUCCUUGUAUGUAAUAAAAAACUCGGAUUAUUUAUAUGUUAUAAAAGUUAAAAUUUAUUUAUUUUUAAAUUAAUUUUAUAUAAAAUAUUAUUAAUUGUUAUUAUUUUUAAACAAUUAUUAUUCAUUUUUUAAAAAAAAUAAUUAUACUUUUACAAAAAUAUUAAUAUCCAUAUUUUUAUAAUAUAUAUUAAAAUAGUAUAUUUUUAUGAAAAAAAAAAUAAUUUUAUGACUUUAUUAUAAUAUUACUAUUCAUAUUUCACUAAAUUUAAUUUAUUUGUAACAACAAAAAAAACUAUUUUCAUUUUUAAUAAAACUUAAAUUAAAUCUAAUUAAUAUGGUAUAAAUAGAAUUUAUAACAUUUUUACAAAAUCAAAAUAGAAAAAAAAAAUUAAACCAAUUUAUUCAAAUAAACUUGUUUUUUCUUUUUUCUAAAUAUUUUUAAAAACAAUUUAUCUAAUACUCUUAUUUUUAUAAAAUAUUAAAAUAACAAUUUUUUUAUUUAAAAAAAAACAUGAAAAAAGCAUGGUCACAACAAACCUAAAAAUAAUUAUGAUUCUAUGUACUUUUUCAUUAAAUGUGCUAUUUUUUACCAUUCACGUGUUAUGCCUUACUGAUGUAGAUCAAAGUUACGCAUAAGAUUAAAAAUGAUUUUUGUACUGUUGCUAUUUUGACGGGUUUUUUUUUUUUCAAAUGAAACAUGCUUUUUGCCCUUUUUGCCCCCACUCUGAUUGAGGGUUUGGUUUAUUUCACUAGCACGGAGCCCUCUCCAUCUGCCAGCCUACCUGACAACUCUGAACCGCUCUUUAAGUCUUUGUUUUUCCUCUUUCAUCAAUGACACAAAUAACUCUCACAUCAGGCGUUUUAAUCUAUUACUGCCACAGGCCCACAAGCAUCAGACAAGGUAUUAAUAGAGGCUUCUCUUUGAUACACCUCAAUAACCAUCCAUGUAAGAUAUGUAUAUUAAACACUAUGAUUCAAUACAUUAUUAUAUACAAACCAGAUGAACCCAGUUACCCACAACCUAGCUUAUUAUAAUUUUUUUAUUUGAAUUAAAUUAAAUGAUUUCAUAAUAAUACUUUUUUUUAUUUUGAAAUAAUAGGUGUUGUGCAAUUUGUUUUACUUUAUUGGUAGGUUAUGAAUUAUUAUUAUUAAUAGUAAUAGUAAUAUAAUUCAAUUAAUAUUUUGUAGGAUACUCAAAAGCUUUAUAUGCACGUAACAAAAUAAAAAGACUUACGAAGACUUAAAAUUAAUGUAAUAUCUAUUCAAUUUACAUAAAUAAGUAUGAUUGUGUGAAAAAGGAGAUAAAUGAAAAAGGUAAAGAAGGUGAACAAUAAUAAAUUUGAAGGAUAUGGGAAAUAUUUGGUUAAAUUAAUAAAGAUAAAAUUGAUUCAUAAAAUUUAAGUUUUUUUUUUUAUAUUUUUUUAAAUUAGUGGGUCAAAACCCACUUUUUCUCAAAAAAUAAUAGAUCAAAACUAUAAUUAUCAAUUAUAACUUUAUUGUUUAAUUUAUAUUCUUUAACAAAUUUUUAAAAUUUUUAAGAAUAAUUUGUAAUUCAAAAAAUUGGUCCAUUUAAUUACAAAUUAAAUCAAAAUUUCCAUAAUAUGUUGUUGUCGUCGCAUGUAAUAAAAAGCUCGGAUUAUUUUAUAUGUUAUAAAAGUUAAAAUUUAUUUAUUUUUAAAUUAAAUUUAUAUAAAAUAUUAUUAAUUAUUAUUAUUUUUGAGCAAUUAUUAUUCCUUUUUAACAAAAAAUAUAUAUUUUUACAAAAAUAUUAAUAUCCAUAUUUUUAAAAUAUAUAUUAAAAUAGUAUAUGUUUUUAUGAAAAAUAUAAUUUUAUGACUUUAUUGUAAUAUUAUUAUUCAUAUUUUACUAAACACUAUUUAUGUUAAUUUAUUUGUUAUAACAAAAACUAUUUUCAUCUUUAAUAAAACUUAAAUUAAAUCUAAUUAAUAUGGUAUAAAUUGAAUUUAUAACAUUUUUACAAAAUCAAAAUAGAAAAAAAAAAUUAAAACCAAUUUAUUCAAAUAAACCUUUUUUCUUUUUUCUAAAUAUUUUUAAAAACAAUUUAUCUAACACUUAUUUUUAUAAAAUUUUAAAAAAACAAACAUGAAAAGAACAUGGUCACAACAAACCUAAAAUAAUGACGAGUCUGAACCGCUCUUUAAGUCUUUGUUUUUAUUUCACUCAGACGGAGCCCUCUCCAUUUGCCAGCCAGCCUGACAAGUCUGAACCGCUCUUUAAGUCUUUGUUUUUCCUCUUUCAUUAAUGACAAAAAUAACUCUCAUAUCAGGCGUUUUAAUCUAUUACUGCCACAAGCAUCAGACAAGGUAUUAUUAGAGGCUUCUCUUUGAUACACCUCAACAACCAUCCAUGUAAGAUAUGUAUAUUAAACACUAUGAUUCAAUACAUUAUUAUAUACAAACCAGAUGAACCCAGUUACCCACAACCUAGCUUAUUAUAAUUUUUUUUAUUUGAAUUAAAUUAAAAGAUUUCAUAAUAAUACUUUUUUUUUUUUUUUUGAAAUAAUAGGUGCUGUGCAAUUUGUUUUACUUUAUUGCUAGGUUAUGAAUUAUUAUUAUUAGUAGUAAUAGUAAUAUAAUUCAAUUAACAUUUUGUAGGAUACUCAAAAGGUUUAUAUGCGACAUAACGGAAUAAAAAGACUUACGAAGACUUAAAAUUAAUGUAAUAUCUAUUCAAUUUAUAUAGAUAAGUAUGAUUGUGUGAAAAAAGAGAUAAAUGAAAAAGGUAAAGAAGGUGAAAAAUAAUAAAUUUGAAGGAUAUGGGAAAUAUUUGGUUAAAUUUCAAACUAAUGGUAAAUAAGUAUUUUUAACCUCUAUACAGGGGGAAGUGAGUAAAAUUAUUGAAUGUAGCCAAAAAUAUAAAUAAGGUACUAGAGGCUUCUAAAUAAACGUGGAUAUGAGAAAAGGUAUAUUUAUAAAAAUUAAAUAAAAUUGUUGAAGAAACUAUUAAACUAUAAUCUAAUGCUUUACAAUCUUGUAUAAUGAGAUUAACCUAAAUUAUUAACGAAAUAUCUUAUUAUAUUUUUUAUUUAAAUUAAAUCAAAAAAAUUUGAUAAUAAUGAUUUCAUUUUUAUCUUAGGAGUAAUAGGUGUUCCUUGUGUUCUUUUGUGAUCUCUUGUGUCUAUAAUUAUAUUACUUUUUCUCACACACUCUCUUACUUGGUUAUUUGUUUGUCUUAUGUGUGCAUAUCAUAGGAUUGUUCAUUGGUGGAUGUUGUAUGGUAAUUGUAAUUUGUGCGAUUAAGGAUGAUGUUUAGUUUAGAUGAAUGUCCUUGACAAAUUUGUAAACUCCAUUUGAGAAUUUUAGGGGUUUAUGUAAUUUAUAUUUUGUCACAAGAUUGUCAAAAGGGGGAAAUUGUUAAUUAGUGCAUUAGGCUACUUAGUUUAAAUUAAAAAUUUUGUUCAAUCCAUCUUCACUUACAGACUUUUUUAGAUUAUUAUGUUUUACUAUUUAUUAAAAACUUAAGGUUAUUGCAUGAUCAAUUGGAAUAAUAUAAGUAUAGAGAUGUUCAAGAAAAGUUAAUUGGAAUCAAUUAUAGCAUGAAAUGAAUGUUAGGCUUUAAGCUAGUGAAAAAGGUUUUAAAAUUAAUUUGAAACUACUCAUGAGCCCGAGCUCAAGCAUCACUUUUAGUGUUCAAGCCAAAAUUCUAUAGGAUACUGAAUUUUUUUUUUUUGUCAUAUUUUUAGAGGUUUAUUGAAACAAAAAUUUAAAUUUCAUCUCUUGUUUAUUAUUUAAUACAAACUUUGAAAAUAAUUUAAGUAUUAGUUUUCCCACAUUCUAAACUCUUAAAAGUUCUCAUUCUUAGAUUUAUAAGAGAGAUUUGCAUCGCGAGAUGUACACUAAGGUCACAAUCAAGAUUUACAAACUAUUCGCGUUGCAUGAUUUGUUUUACUGUAAUGGUAGGUGAUGAAUUUAUUUUAGUUCACAUGUGAAAAUGAUGGGGCUAUAAAGAAAAAGAUACAAGUUAAAGUCCGACAAUUUUUUUUUAAUUGAGAUUCAUUUAUUUAUUUUUAAUUGAGAAAAAUAAAAUAUUAAUAUUAUUAGAAACUUUAUUUAUCAAUUUUUUUACUAUACAAUUUUCAUACAUCUAAUAUGUGAACUUUUUAAUAUCAUGGCAAAAGUGAAAAACAAAAAUAAAAUAUUUAAAAAAGAUUGAUCAAAUUACCAAACCAUCUUAUACUUAAAAAUAAGGCACUUAAAAAGACAAAUGACUCUUAGAAAGAGAAUUUGUAUUUUCAUCAAUUUAAGUUCUUUAUAUAUCUAUUUUAUUUGCACACUUACCUAAUUAUUUACAAUAUACUUCAAAUAAAUUUUAUUAUAUACCUUCUUUCACCUUCUUUCCUUGUUUUUUUUUUCUUUGGCAAAAAUAUUCUUCUCUCCAACUUUUUUGUUAUAAAAACAAAAUAAUAUUUGAGAUUAGUGUAAAGCUGAUUGUAAUAUUUUAAAUGUAUUUUUUAAUUGAAGUACUCAAUUAUAUUAGGUUUAUUUCAUAUAAAUAUAUUUUGAGUUUAUUAUUUAUAUAAUUUUUUUAUUAAUAUUUGUUAGAAAAAUAAUUAAUACUUAUUAAAGUUUUUUAAAGGCAACACUUACUAUUUUUUUUUUAAGAAAUACCGACCCUAAACUAAAAAGGGUAUAAUUGAAAUUCAUAAGGGAUCAAAAUUUCAAUUACAAAUUUGAUGACCGUUUUGAAUACUUGUCAACUAAUUUUAACUAUUUUGGAUAAUUUUUCCAUCGCCAAAUUGAAAGAAAGGCAAAUAAUUACAGAGAUUCGAAUGGAUCUCUAUUUGAAAUGCCCGCUUGCCCGCCCUUCAUUUAAGGACCUUUGGUUGGUUUUUCUAUGGGUGACGGGGGAAGAGAGAAACAAGAAACCAAAGGAGGAGGGUAGCUCAUUUUGGGUCUUGCCAGUUUUUGGAGAAGGAUAGCUUACUCGAAGCCGCUUCAAGCAAUACUACUUUGGCGGACCUUUUCAGGUAUGGCAGCUGUAAGCUUCUUUUUAUUUUUUAUUUUUUAUUUAUUUGCUCCAUUUUCUGCUGAUUUUCUGAUCGAUGUGGAAAUCAAGGCUUAAAUGAUUGUUUUGCUGAAUCUGAAUUUGUUUUCAUACUAAACUCUGUUUUGAUUUUAUACUGAUCCCUUUUAUUUUUCCUGUAAAUAACUACCGUAUGGAUUGUUCUUGAGUUGGAUACUUGAUAAUCAUGCCACUGCUCUAUGCUUAUCCCACUUACGUUCAAUCCCAUGGAUAACACAAUGAAAUGUAAGAUAUGGUAUAUUUAUCAAAAUCAACAAUGAGUGCCCCUAGCAUCAGACACGGUAUUAAUAGAGGCUUCUAUUUGAUAUACCUAUCCAUCCAUGUAAGAUAUGGUAUAUUUAUCAAAAUCAAAUAAAAUUCUGUGUGAAACUAUUAAACACUAUGAUUUAAUACAUUAUAGUUAUGUACAAGCCAGAUCAGCCCAGUCACCCACCACGUAGCUUAUCUUUUUUAAUUUGAAUUAAAUUAAACUACUAAAUGCAAUAUAUUUUGAGAUAUUUCUAAAAUCUGUUUGAGAGUAUUAGAGGUUUGUGUAAUAUAUUUAGUAACAAAACUUCCAAAUGAGGGUUAUUUAGUUUAAAUUGAUAAUUAUGUUCUGUUUAGGACUUUUUUAGAUUAUUAUACCUUACUUUUUAUUGAAGAUUUAAAGUUGUUGUAUAAUCAUGAAAUGGAUGUUAAGCUUUACGGAAAAUUGAUUUUAAACUAUGUAGGAGCCAACGUUCAAGCAGUACCCCCGAUGCUCAAACCAGAGUUUUAUAAAUUCUGAAAAUUUUCUUGUUCGACAUUUAUUGAGAGUGUUUUCUUUUUAAAAAAUUUUAGAUUUCAUUCUCUAGUUUUCACUCUUGAAUGCAAACUUUGAAAGAAAAAUCUAGGUAUUGGUUUUCCCACUUACCAAACUUUUAGAAGUUUGUUUUUUGAUUCCUAGGUUUGUGAGAGUGAUUUGUAUCCCCUUUGAUAUUGAGGUUGUCCAAUGGGUGCACAUGUGGUGAUAUGUGAUGAAAAAUUAGUAUAAGUAUCAAGAGAGUAAGAUUUAUGAAUAACUUUUAUCAUGUGAAUAUGUAUACCAGUUGUUUUAUAAUGAAUUUGUGUUUUGUGAUUUCUGGUAGUUUUUCCAUUUGAAUAUUCUUGUUGAUAACUGUAGGAUGAUUUUCAGGUAAACAUAAUUAUAUCUCCUGUUAUUGACCCUUUUUUACAUUCCUCAAUUAUUAGAGAGGAAUUAAAAACAAAUAUUUUGGGCUAAAGCGAAAUAAAUGCUCUAAAAAAUAUUAGUGUUGCACAAUUUAUUUUACUAUAAUGGUAGGUGAUUAAUUUGACAAAUAUAAUAUAGGAAAGCAAUGUCACAUCCCAUUCAAAUUUUGAAAAAGGCCUAAAGUAAAUUAUAGAAAUUACAUGCUGAAAUACAAGAUUUAUGGAUUGAAGUUUCUACAGAGAUAUGUGGGGUAGCACUCUGUCUAGAUAUCUCAUUCUCGUACUAACAAUGACUGUAGAGAUCGAGAUGGACCAUUUCGUGGUGCCGCAGGAAGUAGUUGCUGAUCAGGUUGUAAAUCCUGCGGAUGGCGGUAGGCAUAUUAGAACCUUGGCCAACUUAAAAUCCGAAAUUUGUCGAACACGAGACGACACUCCAUCAGAAAAAAAUGCAAAGCUAGAAUGUCCCAAGGUUCCAAAGUCGUUGUUGCCAUCAGAUGCCAUGGGUUCUGAGUCUGACGGCCACCGCAAUGAGCCAAAAAUCAUGUCUUUGGGUCCUUACCACCAUGGCAAUCCCAAGCUCGCGCGUGGAGAAAUAAUCAAGCUUAAUUUGGCAGAACAUGCCUUUUUAUUAUUUUCGAUGUCGGAAUCAAUCUCAAUAGAGGAGGUCGAUGAAUUGUACGGCGAAAUUAGCGGUCAAGUCCAAUCGCUGAGGAGCUGUUAUGAUGCGAAGUCGACGGAGAAUUAUUCGGAUGAAGAAUUCAGUGUGAUGAUGAUGGUGGACGGGUGUGCUUUACUGUAUUAUAUGUUUCAUGCUUGCUAUGGUGAUGAACAUGACCAAGAAAAUUCCGGUAUCAGAUAUCAGGAUCUAAGGCAUCUGCAGCGGGACGCGUUGCUGCUGGAGAACCAACUUCCCUAUAAAUUACUCCUGGAACUGGGCGAAAAGGUUCCAGGAUAUGACACUAGUGAGUGGAUGGCACUAUGCUUGGAAUUCGUUGGAGUGAUUGGGGAGGAGGAGGAGGAGGAGGCGUACUCAUUCCCGCAAAAAAUGAGGAAAUUUUGCUCCGGCCCGUUCGGCCAAAUUAUUGGCCGGAGUCUGAUGAAGAGUCGGUUAUAAACCUUAAGCCUCUUCAUCUCCUCGAUCUGUACUUAAAUAAUUGGCUAGGAGCCAAACGUCCUAGCCAAAAAAAAAGCGGCGGUGGGGAAUCAGUUAGAUAUGUGAAGGAGAAGGUUAUGGCAUCAUUUAGAAAUGUGAAGGAGCUUAUGGCCGCUGGAAUCCGCAUCAAGCCUAGCCCUACGCGUUACUUGAGGGACAUUUCUUUCACUUCAAAUGUCAUCACUGGAUGCCUCAGACUUCCUAUCAUCACUAUUGAUAACUCAACCAAGGAUUUGUUCUUUAACUUGAUAGCCUGGGAAAGGUGCUCAAGUCGUCGCCAUGACAGUCAUGACUUCAUCUCUUACCUUUGCUUCCUUGAUUCCCUCAUUGAUCAUGCUGAUGACGUUAAGGAGCUGCAGUCAGCCGGGGUACUCCAAAACAAUCUAGGCACGCAUGAACAAG
RNAcentral lists this long non-coding RNA (59622 nucleotides) under Vitis vinifera (wine grape). RNAcentral describes it as "long non-coding RNA (VVIN_LNC005254)". The record is from RNAcentral. Lineage: Eukaryota; Viridiplantae; Streptophyta; Magnoliopsida; Vitales; Vitaceae.